This 56137-nucleotide long non-coding RNA is filed under the name Citrus sinensis (sweet orange). Its description in RNAcentral is "long non-coding RNA (CSIN_LNC003347)". The record is from RNAcentral. Lineage: Eukaryota; Viridiplantae; Streptophyta; Magnoliopsida; Sapindales; Rutaceae.
AAUGGAGCGAGCCGCGUUGCUUCGUUCUCUCUCUUGUACUUCCCUCGCUUCCAACAGAUUCUACUUUCGCUCUUUCGUACCUCGCGCCAAAUUUUCAUCAUCAUCAGUUGCUGUUGCGAGGAGGAAUCACCACCGUCUGAUCAACAACCUCACCAGGCGCUCCCUCCUCCGCGGCGACAGCAGAUUACACCUCUCCUUAUCCUCUUACUCUCUUCCAUUCAACAAACACUUCUCCUCUCUCUCUCCUAACGCCGUCGCCUCUCCUUCCACUCCCUCAUCUCCAGGUGCAAAUUUGUCGUUUCACUCUUUCUAAAUUUCAGCUCUUUUCCCGUUAUUUAUUUAAUUAAUCUCCUACGUUUAAUUAAGCAGUAAUUUUAUUGGUUCAUUGAAUGAUUACCGGCAAAAAAAAAAACACUUAUUUUCAAUUCUUGUAAAUUUGUGUUUGUUAAUCGUUAGAAAUGAUCUAUUAUUUGGAAAAAAAAAUUGAAACUCCUCUUUUAAGUUAUUGUGAUUGGUGUGUUGAAUUGAGCUCUGUGAUUGGUUUUCUUUGUGUGUGUAGAGGUUGCUGAAGUCAGCAAUGAAGUGGCGGAGAAGCUUGGAUUCGAGAAGGUUUCGGAAGAGUUCAUUGGAGAGUGUAAAUCAAAGGCUGUGCUUUUCAAGCACAAGAAAACCGGUGCUGAGGUCAUGUCUGUAUCCAACGAUGAUGAGAACAAGGUCUUCGGCAUUGUCUUUCGAACUCCUCCGUAAGUAUUGUAAAUGUACUCUGUCUCACUGUUUGAUAUCGUCUUUUUAUUUUCUCUUUUCAUUUUAUUUGAUUAUAUUAAUUUAAAUCAGAUACAUUGUUAGAUAUUAUCAUUGAAAUGCUAAGAAUACAAGAAAAUAAUUUUCAGGCAGUUAUAGUUUUCUGGACAACGAGACACCAUUGCCUCACGCCAUUCUCUUGUUUUAACACCAGUUGUCUAGUCAGGAAUAGGAUCCUUGCCCCAUUGCCUCACGCCAUUCUCUUGUUUUAACACCAGUUGUCUAGUCAGGAAUAGGAUCCUUGCCCCAUUGCCUCACGCCAUUCUCUUGUUUUAACACCAGUUGUCUAGUCAGGAAUAGGAUCCUUGCCCCAUUGCCUCACGCCAUUCUCUUGUUUUAACACCAGUUGUCUAGUCAGGAAUAGGAUCCUUGCCCCAGAAGGAUGGAUGAGUUAAAACAAUCCCAAUCGUCGAGAAUUUCUUGACAAUGUCUUACUCCCAUGUGGUGAGCUAUAUUAGCGCCAGAACUGUCACCAGCGAAAAACACUCUCUGAAAGUCAGCAUAAUGGUUAAGCCAAUCUUCCGGGCCAUCCCCAUCAACAUGGGAAGCAACCCAUUUGAUUGCAGUCCGUGAAUCGUCGUGAGCACAGGGGACCGGAUUCUUCGGGGCUCUCCGAUAAUCAACCGAGACUGCUAUGAUGUUAGCUUCAGAAACUAAGUUGUUGAGGUAAUUAUUGUAAGUAGAAGAACAGGCAGUGUGGACGCAGAAGCCUCCACCGUGAAAAUAAACCACAAGAAGAAGUUUUUGGUUUUGAUCUUUUGUGUUUUUCGGAAUGUAAAGACGAGCGGAUAGAGUAUUUUCAGGUAAAUACAAAACGUCUCUGGAAUCAACGUUUGUUUUUGGAUCAAAUGAUGGAGGAACGAUGUCAUUGCCCACAAGCCUCUCUAUUGUGCCAUCUUUGUAUAUUAUCAUCAUAGGAGAGAAAUCGUGGGCGAUUUCUGAUAAUGGCUCUGUGGAACCCAUUGAAGCAGAAAAUGUCGGCAGAGCGCCGGCAAGCCUGAAUUAGCCUUUCUAAUAAAAUAUUACUAGCAACAGCCAACAAAGAUCUUGCUCAAGUUAGGUCUCAUAUACGCGUCAAUGAUAUUACUAGGCUGCUGACAGGGCACAGAUGAGCUAGCAGCUUAGUGUGGUUACCAACUGAACAGAAUUGAAACAGUUGUUUCUGAGAAAUUUUCUUGCAACUUAGAGAGAGUUAGCCAAGAUUGUAAACAUGGGAUUUGUUCUUUGCAGAGUGCUGAGUGUAAUCUUUUAAUCGGCAUCUGUUAAUGAUGCUUGCCGUGGUUGUUUUCUCUUGCAGAUAUAAGCAAGCUUGUCAAGCCACAUAAAUUGCUCUUGUGAUGUUCUUGAUUUGAUUUUGCAUGUCCCUAUGAUCUCAUUGAUUAAUCUUUAGAUUUAGAUCCUGAAUUCUUUCUUGAUCUCUUCUUGAUUUGAUAAUCACAUUGAAUUGGAUCCAACAGUAACAAUGGCUCCUACAAUUAAACUCUAUUCAUUUUCUUUCCUUAUUGUUCUUAUGGUAAGGUACACAAUAUCACUUGUAAAUUAUACACACAUCAAUGGGGUAUUUGAAUGUUCUUAUAUAGACAUUAAUACAUAUAUGAAAUUGCUGGUAAAAGAAAUGAUGUCCAUAAUGUGAAACCAAAGAGAAAUAUGAUGCUGAACAACAUUAAAUCAAGAGUACGCACAUUACUAAGUUCCUGGUGAUCGCAUCAGAAAACAUUAUCUUGAUUUAGGAAUGAAGCUAAUUUAUCCAUCAAGGCCACAGCCUUUUCAGAAUCUGGAUUGAACAAGUGAAACACAUGAUCCUCUCCUUCUGUCUCCACAAUCUCAAUUUCUCCAGCCCAAACCACAAUUUUUCAAAGUCUCAUAAUAAAGCAAUCCCCUAUCUCUCAAAUUAUCCUUCUCGGCAACACAAACGAGAACCCUGGGACACCUCAGGCUCAUUAGCCUAGAGUCAGCAGCUGGGUUUAUUCUCACAUCAUUGUACCCACUUGUAUUUGGACAUACAAAUACCCAACACUUAUCAACAACUUCAUCAUUUCUCCCAAAAUAUGGCUGAACCAAGCAAAUUCCUGCCAGUUUUAUCCCAUUUAAGUCUUCAAAACUCGCUUGAACGACCAUGUUGUGCACAAUAUUGCCACCAGCACUGUCACCGGCGAGAAAAACACGAGCAAAAUCAGCAUGAUCGUUUAACCAAGCUUCAUAGCCAUGACCAUUGAUAUUAAAAUGAUAAGCUACCCAAGUGAGGACAGCCCAUGAGUCUUCAUAAGCAGCAGGGACCAAGUGUUCAGGGGCUAAUCUGUAAUCAACUGAGACUACAAUAACAUUUGCUUUGGCCGAAAGAGAGCCUACAUAGUUGUGGUACGUGGAACAAAAUGGUGAGCCCAUAAAGAAGCCCCCGCCGUGAUAAUAGACGAGGAGAGGGAGCUUUUGGUUUGUUUUAAUGGCGGCUGAAGGGAUGAAGAUUCUUGCUGAUACGCCUUUCUCUGGCACAAUAACUACAUCUUUGGAGAAGACAGCAUUUGAGGAAUCCAUUGAUGCUGGAACUUUAUCGCUCCCAAAGAAUCUCUCCACAUGCCCAUCUCUGUAUGCACGAAAAUAUGGAAGAAACUCAUGUGCAAUUGCUCUUGUUUUUGAAUCCAUUAUUGCUUGUUGCAUAUUAUUAAUUCUAGUGAUGAUGAUUAAAUAACGAGAGUAACAGUAGUAAGAUAUAUUGCCAGUAAUCGUUUCUUUGGUUUGCGAGCAAGAUUAAAGUGUGGUCAUUGGUUUCUUUUUUUUCCUCCGAGACAAAAAUGGGGCUAAAGUUUGGUCGUUCUUUGUAUUAAGAUAGUGGAAUAAAAAAGGAUAAAUUUCCAGCUAUCCCAUCAAUUCAUUUCCUACAUAUCGCAAUUUUACCCCAUAAAAAACAUCUUUUUUUUUUUUUUUAAUGAAAAAAAGGGAAAGUUUCGUGGUGCUUUCUCAUGUAGUUGUUCAAAAAGGUUUGAUACAAAACAUUUUGUUUUGUUUUUUAAUAAAAAAGAAAAUAUAAAACCAACUAAGUGUCGUUCGUAUAAUUGAAUAUCAUGAACAAGUUAAAAUCCCAUGGCUAUAGUUCAUGUGGGAUUUAAAGUUCCUCUCAAUACACAAAUGAACAAUAAGACCUCGUAGAUAGAACUCACUUUUAAAAAUUGGUUUAUAAAAGAAUUGAGUUCGCGAGUUUUAUAUAUUCAUUUAAAUUGUCAUAUUUUUUAGUUCAUGUACGCCAUGCGGAACAUAAGAUCCUAACAUAUAUCUUAUCGUAUUGAAAAAAUAUUAUAUUUGGUCCAAAAUCCAAUGCAUAUCCAAUAUUCACUUGUCUAUGCAUAUCCAACAUUUUCUUGUGCACAUGCAUGUCAAAAUGUUGCCAUUCUGAUAGUAAGUUGAAUGAUAAGGUCUUAAUUCAAGUUGUUCUGUACACUAGCAUCUUAAUUGCACUUUCUCUGUCACAGAGUAUUUGAAUAUGUUUGAAGCAAGUUCAGCCCCCAAAUGAAUCAAUAGUUGAAAAACAGAAACUAUUUUCAGAACCAGUCAGGAUUAUUGAGAAAUACCCUGCUGGUGAUGCUGGUGAUAUUAAGAAGAAGAACAUGGUAUGCCUUAAUUGGUUGCUCUCAGAUAAGCCCUUAGACUUGGAAACGGAACUUGCCCUUGGGUUCUUGGAUCAUCUUAUGCUGGGAACUCCUGCUUCUCCCUUGAGGAAAAUUUUACUAGAAAGUGGUCUUGGAGAUGCCAUUGUUGGUGGUGGGAUUGAAGAUGAACUCCUUCAGCCUCAAUUUAGUAUCGGAUUGAAGAAUGUUUCUGAAGAUGACACUCAAAAGGUAGAAGAAUUAAUCAUGGAUACACUAAAAAAACUAGCAGACGAAGGUUUUUUUCAGAAUAUUUCAUAUUUUCUAUCUAGCAAGCCUUGCUUUGCUCCCACGACUCCAACGAAUACGUUGGGUCUAAGUCUUUUACCAUAGUAAGUCUAUAAUUCCGAGGUGCCAUAAGCAGGUGUACAUCCGAGGACAACUCAAAUUUAGAGUCUUAAGUUUCUUAUCCUACAUUAAAACUUCUCUUGAUCUAAACUUUUAUUUGCUAUUAAAUACCUAACAUACAUUCAAUUUGAAUUUUACACUAUUCUUUUAUUAUUAGAUAGCAAUUUUUUAUGUGGAAAUAUUCUGUAAGUUGUAAAAGCUAUUGUUAUCAAAAUUAUUUUUUCAUAGUUUAUUUCUUCUGUAUAUCAAAUGCUUAGCUUAUAAUUAUUCAUAACAUAUAAAUAUUACUAUACUAAAUAACCCGGUAAACAUAUACCUAUUUAAACUUCCAAAUGUAUAAUACAUCUAAGGAUAUAAGUAUAAAAUACUAGAUUUAAGAUAUUUUGAGUUUAUAAAAGCAAACAACUUACCACUUAUAUACUUAGGCAUCAAAAAAUGAAAACAGACAAAUGGAUUUAGAUUUGUUUAAACUUCAGUUAAACUAAUUUAAAUUUCAAAUAAAAAGAAUAAAUGUUAUCUUAAUAAAUAGUUAGUUGUUAGUAGGGCAGAUUAUUGAUAAUACCCGUUUUCACCAAAUUUUCAUUAGGAUCUGAUUCGUACUAGUUACCAGAUCAAAUCUGUCUCAAAUAAAUAAAUUUACAUUUGAGGGAGCUUGUGCUAAGUUUGGACUUAGAUGUUUUUUUCUGAUAUUUGUGAUAGGUGGUUUAACUAAGGUACCCUAGGUGGUGAGCCAAAAUAAUAUAUAGGAGUUAAUUUAGGGAGUAACUCAAGUGUCCCACCAAAUACUUAGCGUAGUUAGGGUAGCUCAAGUAUACUCGAGUGAUAGCUCAAGUGUCUCACCAAAUACUUAGUGUAAGUGGGGUACGUCAAGUAUGCUUACACAUGAACAUAAUUACAACUGUAAUUCUGUAAAUUGAAAAUAUAGCAAAAUAAACAUAGAGGCAAUGAACACACAUUGUUUACGUGGUUUAGCCUUUGACCUACGUCCACGGGAGUAAGUAAUCAUCAAUCCAUUAUAACACACAAUGUUUACGUGGUUUGCCAUUUAGCCUACGUCUAUAGGAGCAAGUAAUCACCAAUUCGUUAUAUAAAUGAAAUGUUAUAUAAGAUUCUACAUUAUAAAAGAUGAAUAAAAUAAGCUAGAUAGCUAUAUAGAGAUGUUUAGUCUUGAUAAAGAUGAAGAUGAUUGUUUCAGGUAGAUUUUGGGUGCAAAAGAAAAAAGGAAAACCUAACUAAAAUAAUAAAUUUAUUUUCGGGAUAUAAGGUACCUCACUUAGUUGCAAUUUGUGCGUUGUUUUGUGCAUUUUAAAAAAAUGAAGAAGAGUGAGAAGACAAUGAUAAUGGUGAGAGGUCCAAAUCUGGACUGAAAGAGCUUGAAAGGACACCUUAAACUAGCAAAACAAUAAAAAGGAUAUCAUAGGUGAAGCCGGAAGUGGCCAGUGACCAUGGUUCGAUGCUUAAGUCAGAGUUGGGUUAUCUAGCGUUUGAGAGCUUGUAAGCUCUCUUUAAUGAUUGCUGGAGGUUAGAGAAAACCUUAGUCUUUUAUGUGUGUGUUUGUUGUAUAUCUGAGCAAAAUAAAACUUUAGUGUCUUUCUAUAUAGAGCACCUUGACUACCCUACCACGUGGCAUAUAUUACAGUGGUGAUUUGCUGUCAUUUUCAAGUUUAUUUUAUCCUUUCACCAGUAUCAUGAUUUUGAGCCAUUAGUAGCAUGCUUGAGGAGCAAUAAGGACAUCAUUUGGUAUGGUUUGUUUUCUUGUACACGUGUUGUGCGUUGCAGAGUAGUCUAGGACACCUCUACAAAGGUUGUCUUGACAGCUUCUAUGCGUGGCAGCUAAGGACCACUGUCUUGGUGUGUUUCCUUUUGCUUUUUAUAGGUGUGACAGCAAGCUGCCCCUUCUUUUCUAGCAAGAUAUUUCCUAUUUGAUCUUGUCAAAUCAAAUAUUCUCUUAGGGUGAUGGAGGUAUUUCUCACGGUUGAUAUUUUAGAGACUUUUCUUUACCAUCUUACUUCUAGUAUGGAAUACUCCACGUACCAGCUCAAUUAUCAAGUGUACCCAGUGUAAGUUAGGUACCCUCUGUGAUUAUUUUUAAUCAUAAAAUUUUUCAUCAACACACAGCGCCACAUUAUUGAUCUUCAAUGUCUUCCCCAAACAAUAUCCUUCCUAGUACAGACACCCUUUUAUAAAAAUAAGCAAUGGAGCUAUUGGCACCCCUUUAAAAAUCGUAUCAAACCUUUCAUUUGAGUUAUUUUAUAAAAAAUUUAAUUAAAUGCACCCAUCUUCUUCAAGAAUAUUGGCAGCAAUCAGAUUUGUUGUUUAUGACCCAUAUAUAGAAUUUCAGUUACAAACCAUUCAUUAUCUAUCAUCAAACGAAUUCUUGAAAAGAACAAUUUUAAAUAAAAGACAGACUAAUGUAAAAGAAAAAUGACUCUAAAAGUAUACAAUUGUUUGUGAUAAAAAAGAAAAAGAAAAAAAAUGUCUCAUUCUUGUUCAAAGAAUAAAAAUAUGGAUUUAGUGGUGUGAAAAGAAAUCUCUCCAAAACUGAAUUGGAUAAGUUCAAGCUCUGAACUUGCAGUGUUGAACAAGCGCAAUCAUUAUAAAUUUAAAAUGAAAGAAAAUGCCAUUGAGUUUAGAAGAGUUUCGUAGAGAGAGAUGAGGUUCACUGAAGUUUUCUUGGGAAAAAUAAUUGGAAGGUUAUUUGUGGAAUUAAAUAGAGAUUAUUCUUAAAAGUGGUUGUACGAGGGCAUUCGAGGGAUGGCAAUAGUCCAACCCAAUAUUAAUUUCUGUGUUCAAUUGAUUUUCUGAGAAUUGUCAUACUUUUUUUAAUUAAUAAAUUUCCUUUGAACGGUUGAAGUUGGUAAAUAUAUAUAUAUAUAUAGGGUUCCUCUAUGAUGUUGUAAUUUUUUUACAGCAUCAAUAAUGUUUUUAAUUGUGUACCAUUGGAUUUAAUCAAUGGUACACAAUAUUUGUAGGUAAAAAUAAAAAUAAAAAAUAAUGGUAAACGGUUAACAAACGUGUAAGGGGUGGAGAAGUUUGUGAAAUAACUAUGACCACCCUUAGAGUUUGAAACAAUUUCACUUAAAUAUCACAUUUUAUUUAAAAUUAUUUUUCAGAAUAUAAUGGUAGGUUAUUUAACACAAAUCAAAUAAAUAAGUUGCAAUUGCAAAAUUUAUAUAUGAUAUAACACUAAUAAAUAACACAACAAGUACAUAUAGUUAAGUAAAUGUCAUAGAUACAUCAAUAAACUCAUUGUUGAGAUUGCUUGUAACAUAAAAAUUACUUGAUCACACAUGUUUUAAUAAAAUUUAAUAUUGUAUAUUAAAAUACUCAUUAUUUUAUAUAAUAUUAAGGGCCAUUGUAUAAUUGAUCAUGAAGUAUGUAUCAUUUUUAACACCCAUUUAACAAAUUUAUUUUAUGUACUUUAUAUUUAUCUUACAGUUAAUAUCCUUACAUGGUGGGAGUUUUAAGUUUUAUAAGCUUAUAUAUUUUCAUUACAGCAGAAUUAUAAAAUUUUAUGUUAUGAAGAGUCAUUACUUCUGUUAUGAUAGUUAAUAGUGACAAUAAAUAAAAUAUUGCCUCCGAUAAUAUUUACGUGGGAAAAAAGUGAAAUAAAAUCAUUUAUAUUUUUAAAUUUUUAUUGACAUGGUAGAAAAUUAUCUGAGCCUUAUAAAAUUUAACUUAUAGUAAUUAUAAAAUUUUUAUGUUACAAAGAGUCAUUACUUUUAUUAUGAUAAUUAAUAGUGACAAUAAAUAAAAUAUCACAUCAAAUAAUAUUUAAUGGACAAAAUGAGGAAAAAAAUGAUUGCAUGUUUUUAUAUUUCCAUUAUAACGAUAUAAUUUGGGAUACUUUAACUUAAAAUUUUGACACAAUAUUUGAGCCACUAAUAUAACAUAAUCUAAUGGUUGAUAUUGAAAGUCAAAGCAACAUUUCAUAAUGUUAUAUCCUCUACCAUUGAAUUGCAUGAAAUAAAUAGUUUAAUCUUUUGUUAAAAAUUUAAAUCAAAAUAUUUCUCACUCUAUAGUUAUAUAGACAUAUAUAUUUUUCAAUAAUAAUUGGUGAAUAAAAUAUUUCUCAUUUGUUGUGACUCAUAAUUUUAAAUAAAAUAUGCUAUUUAAGUGAAAUUAUUUCAAACUCUAAGGGUGGUCACAAUUAUUUUACAAAAAUUCUCCACCCACUUGAACGUUAACAAACUGUUUACUAUUAUUUUUAAAUUAUUUUUUUAGUACAAAUAUUAUACACCAUUGAUUAAAUCUAAUGAUUUACAAUUAAUACAUUAUUGAUGCUGUAAAUUUUUUACAGCAUCAUAGAGGAACCCAUAUAUAUAUAUAUAUAUAUAUACCCGUAAAAAUAGCAGCUGACAGAAAAAAAAAAAAAAAGGAAAUUGACAAUUAUAAAUAUAGUUAGAGGCACAUGAAUUCAGGCCUUCUCCUGAUGAUUCAAGAAAGAAGCAGUUCUCUCAAGCAUGGCCACAGCAUUUUCACAUGUGGGAUUUAUCAAAUGGAACACAUAUUGCUCUCCUUUGGACUCAACAAUCUCCACAUUGCCCCUACACCCGCUCUCCUUCAACUUGUCAUAAUAAAACCAUCCUCUAGAUCUCAGAAAAUCAUUCUCCGCAACAAAUACCUGCAUCCUGGCGCAUCCCAGGCUCGCUAGGUCCGAACCCGCAACGGCAGGAUUAAUCCACGGAUCAUCGCACCCACUUGUGCUACUUGGACAAGUCAAUCUCCACAAUCCCGCGACCCAGUCUCUUUUCUUAGCGUCAGCUGUUUCAUUACCAACAGCUUCUCUGCCCAGAAAAUACGGAUGAAUUAAAACAAUGCCAAUAACAUUAACACCAUCGAGAAUUUCUCGACCAUGUCUCAUGCCCAUGUGAUGAGCUAUGUUAGCGCCAGCACUGUCACCAGAAAAAAACACUCGCUGGAAAUCAGCGAAAUAGUUGAGCCAAUCUUCAGGGCCUUCUCCGUUAACAUGGGAAGCAACCCACUUGAGUGCAGUCCAUGAAUCAUCAUGAGCGCAAGGGACAGGAUUCUCCGGGGCUCUCCGAUAAUCAACCGAGACUGCGAUGACGUUAGCUUCAGAGACUAAGGUGUUGAGGUAAUUGUGGUAAGUGGGAGAAAAGGCGGUUUCGAUGCAAAAGCCUCCGCCAUGAAAAUAAACAAGAAGGGGAAGUUUUUGGUUUUGGUUUUGGUUUUGUCUUUGGUUUGGAAUGUAAAGCCGAGCAUACAGUGGCGGAUCUAGCUUGGGACCAGUGGGGACUUAAGUCCCCACUGAAAAAAAAAAAAUUUUUUUACUAACUAAUUUGAUUUGCCAAAAUCUUUUAUAUUCAAGCCCAUAAAUCUUUUAUAAUCAAGCCCCUAAUACUUAAUUAUACUUAAAUUCUCACAUGAGUGGUGAUAUUUGACCCCCUCAUUAUAUCUCACCAACCCCCACUAAUUAUUUUUAUAUUAAUACUUAUUUUAUCCUUAUAUGAAAUGACUUAAAAGGAUAAAUAUAUUUUAAGUACACCCACAUAAUAAUUUUUAUUAAUAAUUAAUAAAAUUAGUCUAAUUUUUUAAACCCUAAUUUCCUUUAACUUUUUAAUUUUUUUGGUGAGAAUUGAUUAAACCCUAAUUAUAAUGAUCAUUAAUAUUCUUAGCCAACAAUUGCUUUGUUAAACGUUCAGUCAAAUCCUCUUAGAACAAUCCUUAAGAAAUAGAGAUUCCCUACAAGCAUCAUAGAUGAAACAAAAAGUCAUAAGAAUGGUCCUUAUAUUGCCUGAUUAUUGGUUUAGUGGCAUUUAAUAAACCAAUCUCCUUGUCAUUGCUACGGAAGUAUUGUUUGUAGCAAAUGAGCCUUUAUUACCUGAUUAUUGCAUGAUCCCAUAAACCCAACAAGCACGACAACUGAACCUGUAAGUCUUGGAGUGAGAGUUCUACCGAGUGACCAUGGUUGAUUGUCUUCUUCUUCUAGUAAAGGGAAAAGCGAGUUCGUUUAAAAUUUGUAUAAAACCCUAGAAUCUAACUUUUUAAAUUAUCUCUUUUCAUAUAUUAUAUACUCCCUGCUUUUGUAACUAUGGAAGAAAUUAGUUUGCAGUACUCACUAGCGGAUGAAGAAGUAAGUUUAAAGUUUUUUUCCCUUUAAUUUUUGUACUCUAUUUAUUUUCAACACCCUAAUAAUUUUAUAUUUCUAACAAAUUUUAGGAUGAAAAGUCUAUUAAUCAUGGAAACAAUGUCACAAGAGAAUCGAACAUUGUAGAUGAUUGUGCUUGUGUUUUCAGCACUGACAAGGUAGAUAGCUAACUUUCACUUUUUAAUUUUUUAUUAUUAAUUAAUAUUAUUCAAAGCUUUCUAAUUGGAUAUAUUAUAAUUUUGUUUUGAUUAGGUUUUGAAUAGCAUGGAAGAAUUAAUUGAGUGGACACGAAAUGCUGGCAAGAGAAAUGGAUAUGUCAUUAUAAUAAAAAAGUCAGAUGUAAGUGCACAUGGUAGAAAUCCAAGAAUAAUUUUCGCUUGUGAAAGAAGUGGUGCUUACAAGUGUGUUUCUAGUGAAGGUCAAAGGCCAAAAUGUCCUAAGGCAACCGGAACAAAAAAAUGCAAUUGUCCAUUCAGAUUAAAAGGGCAAUAUUUGGCAAAUGACAAUUGUUGGGUUUUGAAAGUGAUAUGUGCAGAACAUAACCAUCCUGCAGCAAAACAUCUUGAGGGGCACUCAUAUGCAGGUAGACUUACUGAAAAAGAAAACAACUUAUUGAUUGAUAUGUCAAAAAGUAAUGCAAGGCCAAAGGAUAUACUAUAUACGAUAAAACAAAGAGAUAUAUAUAAUGCUACUACUAUGAGGUCUAUUUACAAUGCAAGACAUAGAUACAAGGUUAAAGAACUAGCCGGUAGGUCAAAGAUGCAACUACUCAUGAGCAAAUUGACUGAGCAUAACUACAUUGAGUGGUAUCAAAGUGAUGCUGAUACAGACAAUGUUAAGGACUUAUUUUGGGCUCAUCCUUUUGCAAUUGACCUAUUACGGGCAUUUCCACAUGUGUUAAUUAUGGAUUGCACAUACAAGACCAACAUGUAUGCUUUUCCAUUACUAGAGCUGGUUGGUGUCACCUCGACUGAGAUGACAUUUUCAGUAUGUUUUGCAUAUAUUGAACGCGAGCGGGAGGAUAACUACAGUUGGGCACUAGAUAAAUUGAAAGGUUUUAUGGAUAAUAAUAUGUUACCGAGUGUAAUUGUGACAGAUAGAGAGGUAGCACUAAUGAAUGCUAUUCAAAAUAUUUUCCCAACUGCAACUCAUCUUCUGUGUAGAUGGCAUAUCUCAAAAAAUAUUUUAGCUAAUUGUAAGAAGUUAUUUGAGACUAAUGAGGUAUGGGAAUCUUUCAUUACUAGUUGGAAUAUAUUAGUACUAUCUGCCACAAAAGACCAUUAUAUGCAACACCUAAGACUUUUGGAGAGUGAAUUUGUUAGAUAUCAAGAAACUAUUGAUUAUGUGAAGAACACAUGGCUGGAUAAGUACAAGGAAAAAUUUGUUGCAGCUUGGACUGAUUCAAUAAUGCAUUUAGGAAAUACAACCUCAAACAGGUAAAUAUUCAUUAAAAUAUAUUCUUAUAUUUAAUUUUAUUAUUGAAAAAAUAACUUUUUUUUGGGUAUUUUCUUAACAGGGUUGAGACAUCUCAUUCAGCAUUAAAAAGGCAACUACAAUCAUCACGAGGAACUUUUGAGACGUUAUGGACUAAAAUCCAUGCUUUAGUAGAAUUGCAGCAUACAGAGAUUAAAGCUUCGUUAGAGAGAAGUUCAACAACAGUGCAACAUGAUUUCAAACCUUCAGUUUUCAAGGAAUUGCGAGGAUUUGUUUCACGAAAUGCACUCAACAUGAUAUUUUGUGAGUCUAAACAAGCUGAUUAUAUUGGUCUAGAUCCAUUGGCUUAUGGAUGCGUAGUUCGACGCACUCAUGGAAUUCCAUAUGCACAUGAGAUUGCAAGGUAUAAGCGUGAAGGAAGACCUAUUCCUUUGUCUUUUAUACAUCUACAUUGGAAGAAACUAAACUUAUUACCUACUACCAAAGCUGAAACUACAGAUUUAAGUUGUUCAACUGAGAUGGAGAUGAUUUUGAAGCGUUUUAAUAAUAAUGAUUACACUGGAAAGUUACAGAUUUUGAAGAAGUUAAAAGAACUAGCAAAUCCAGCAUCAACUUAUCUUAUUGAGCCAGAAGCUAAAGCAAGAACACGAGGCCGACCUUCUUCAAAGGCAGAUAAUUCUACUCGUCGAGAUCCAUCCAAAUUUGAACAUGUAUUAUCUGCACUGAAUAGUCAUUCUCCACAUUUAUCUUCAAGUAAGAUUUUUGUACAAUCUAAACUACGACAAAGAAAAAAGGUGCAUCAGUCUCAACUUCCUAAGCAUUCUUCUUUCAUUGAUUCAUUUCCACAAGGAUUGCGGCCAUAUAUACAUCAUGUUAAAGAUGUUGCUGCAGAUGGUAAUUGUGGCUUUCGUGUUGUGGCUGAUUUAAUUGGUUUGGGUGAGGAUAAUUGGAUUCAAGUGAGGAGGGACUUAAUUGAUGAAUUAAAAAGCCACUUUGAUGACUAUACCCAAAUAUUUAAGUAUGCAGGUAGAUCUGAUGAGAUUCUACAGUCACUUUCAUAUUUUGAAAACAAUCCAUCAAAUGAUUAUUGGAUGACCUUCCCUGAAGCAGGAUAUCUUAUUGCUUCUAAAUAUAAUGUUGUGCUAGUAUUCUUAUCUCAACUUCAGUGUCUCACUUUUCUUCCACUCAGAUCAACUCCAUUACCACGGCCCUCUCAAAAGAUUAUUGCAAUUGGAUUCAUUCACAAUUGUCAUUUCAUACAGGUAGUUUUUUAGACUUUUUGUUAAUAAUUAUUAUUUCAUACCACAACCCUCAAAGAAAAGAAAUUUUUUUUUUUUAACACUUGUUAACUAUGAUUUUUUCAAUAUUUUACUUUUUUAUUACAGGUAGUCAUGAAUCCAGAUUCACCGAUGCCACCAAUAGCAAGUAGUUAGUUAAAAUAUCAUUCUUCUAUAGCAGAAGGAUGGGCAACUCCAUAUGAUAGGAACAUUAUUGCUUUUAAAGAUUUAGUACAUAAUGUAGCAAGCAAAGACACAAUUGAUUUGGAUGAUCAAUAAGUGUUUCCAUUUUUUAUUGUUUUUUUAAAUGAUUUCGGCAAGUUGUUUUGUAAUAAGUAUUUCAGUUCAUAUAUUAUUUAGAAACUACAAUUUUAUCCAGAGAAACUGCAACAACUUAUUAACACUAAGAGGGGAUACAGAGCCACUGGUUGAAUGUAGUACCCAACUACCCAUUGUUACAAUAUUUGGAGUAAGAGCUACGAAAAUCAGUUUAUUUGUGCUAUUAGAUAUCAUGUCGAUGUUUUAAUUGCCUGGUUUUCUCAAAUCCUUAAAACUGAUUGUUAUUAGAAAAGAAUUAAUGGGGAAAGGAAAGUCAUGAAAAGUUCUUCUGUUGUGUUAACUGAAGCCAUGCAGCUGUUGCUUUGGAGAAGUUUGUACUAUCUGCUGAGUAUUUCAUUAAGAGGAAGUUAUAUUCAGUUUUUUUUUUUUAGAAAAGCUAUAUCCAGAUGUUGAUAUAGGAAUAAAUAAGAUUUAAUUAGUUUUUACUUUUGUUAUUUCUUGCAAGUGUAAAUAGGUUAAAAAACUGUUAAAUAUGUGAUAUGAGCAAGGAAAUUACAAUCAGAAGGGUUACUUGAGAGUUACAAUAGCUACUUUUGAACCUAAUUCUACUUUGAUAGAUUCAUAAUGCAUGCUUAUUUAAGAAAUUUGGCCACUUUGGUGGUCAAAAUCUACUCGGCAGUUGCAAAACUUCAUAAAUUGUAUAUAGAACAAAAAAAACAGUAAUGAUCAUUUUUAUAGAGAACGAAAGUAAUAAUUUUAUUCAGUCAGUAAAAAUGACAAACACUUGGAAGACUAUUCACAGCUAUGAAGAAAUACAUAAAUUCUCCAAUUUGUAAACAAAAAAACAACCAGUCAAGAUACUCAAAGAACUAAAAAAGCCAAUACAAAUUGAAACUAACUACAAUACUUAAAUAUAUAAUUUCUUGAAUUUGUAAACACCAUACCUCCUCAUGCUGAAAAAGGUAGCUGCACUUGCAAGAAAUUCCAAAACUAUCAUGUCUACCCCCUUGGCUAAUUCUUGUAUUUCUAUACUCACUCUGGGCUUGAUAGACUUAGCAUGAUACUUUGAUUUUUUAGGAUUGACUUGGCAUGGUUCGUGGUCCAAUCCUUAUUGGAAUUAUUAAAUUCUUUUCCAUGGUUACGGUGGCGAUUAUGAGAAUUUUUUUCUGUUUUAAAAUAAUUUUUAUAAGUUUUAUAAAUGGGUGCAUGAAGUAAGAUAAAAAUUAUAAUAAGGGUAAAUUAGGAAUUAAGUGGGGUAUAUUAAGAGAUAAAAAUUAAUUUAAAAUUAUUAAUGGGGUUAAUUGAAAAGUGGGGGUUUGUGAGAUAUAAUUAGGGGGUUAAAUAUCACCACUCUUCUCACACUCUAAGUUUUUAAAACAAAUAAAAAGAGAUGGGCUUUGCAAACUUAUUAACACUAAGAGGGGAUACAGAGCCACUGGUUGAAUGUAGUACCCAACUACCCAUUGUUACAAUAUUUGGAGUAAGAGCUACGAAAAUCAGUUUAUUUGUGCUAUUAGAUAUCAUGUCGAUGUUUUAAUUGCCUGGUUUUCUCAAAUCCUUAAAACUGAUUGUUAUUAGAAAAGAAUUAAUGGGGAAAGGAAAGUCAUGAAAAGUUCUUCUGUUGUGUUAACUGAAGCCAUGCAGCUGUUGCUUUGGAGAAGUUUGUACUAUCUGCUGAGUAUUUCAUUAAGAGGAAGUUAUAUUCAGUUUUUUUUUUUUAGAAAAGCUAUAUCCAGAUGUUGAUAUAGGAAUAAAUAAGAUUUAAUUAGUUUUUACUUUUGUUAUUUCUUGCAAGUGUAAAUAGGUUAAAAAACUGUUAAAUAUGUGAUAUGAGCAAGGAAAUUACAAUCAGAAGGGUUACUUGAGAGUUACAAUAGCUACUUUUGAACCUAAUUCUACUUUGAUAGAUUCAUAAUGCAUGCUUAUUUAAGAAAUUUGGCCACUUUGGUGGUCAAAAUCUACUCGGCAGUUGCAAAACUUCAUAAAUUGUAUAUAGAACAAAAAAAACAGUAAUGAUCAUUUUUAUAGAGAACGAAAGUAAUAAUUUUAUUCAGUCAGUAAAAAUGACAAACACUUGGAAGACUAUUCACAGCUAUGAAGAAAUACAUAAAUUCUCCAAUUUGUAAACAAAAAAACAACCAGUCAAGAUACUCAAAGAACUAAAAAAGCCAAUACAAAUUGAAACUAACUACAAUACUUAAAUAUAUAAUUUCUUGAAUUUGUAAACACCAUACCUCCUCAUGCUGAAAAAGGUAGCUGCACUUGCAAGAAAUUCCAAAACUAUCAUGUCUACCCCCUUGGCUAAUUCUUGUAUUUCUAUACUCACUCUGGGCUUGAUAGACUUAGCAUGAUACUUUGAUUUUUUAGGAUUGACUUGGCAUGGUUCGUGGUCCAAUCCUUAUUGGAAUUAUUAAAUUCUUUUCCAUGGUUACGGUGGCGAUUAUGAGAAUUUUUUUCUGUUUUAAAAUAAUUUUUAUAAGUUUUAUAAAUGGGUGCAUGAAGUAAGAUAAAAAUUAUAAUAAGGGUAAAUUAGGAAUUAAGUGGGGUAUAUUAAGAGAUAAAAAUUAAUUUAAAAUUAUUAAUGGGGUUAAUUGAAAAGUGGGGGUUUGUGAGAUAUAAUUAGGGGGUUAAAUAUCACCACUCUUCUCACACUCUAAGUUUUUAAAACAAAUAAAAAGAGAUGGGCUUUGCAAACUAAAAUCAAGCCCAUAAAUAUUAAUAUUAAUCAAAUUUUUAAACAGCCCACAAACCUAUUAAUAAUAUUUUAUUACUCUUUACCUUCUCCAAUUCCACUACAUCCUGCACCCAUACGCAAAUCCCUAAAUCAUCUUCUUGUUUCGACAUCUCCAAAAGCAAAACAGUUUCGGCAUCUCCAAAAGCAAAACAGUAGUGACAGUGGAAAGUGAUUUUCAUUUAUUCCUCCAAAUUUCAAACAACCCCUCAUCUCUUCAUUCAAUAAAAUUAAGGUACAAGUUAACACUUUAUUUGCUUUUUAUUUUAUUGUUUAUAAAUCAUAUAUAAUUAUUUGUUGAAUUGAUGUUAUAGUUGUUUUUCUUCCCCCUUAGUUAGUGUAUCAUCUGGCUAUUGGUAUAUUUGAAAAAUAUAAUGUGAUUGAGUGUAGAUUCCAUGAAAAAGAACACAUAUUAUUAGAUUAAGAAAAUAACAAUUGCAAUUAAGCAUUUGCUUGUUUAACUUUAAUGUCUUGUACUGUUUGUUAAUUAAUUUAUAGCAUUAAUAUAAUUAUAUAAUAGGGGAAUAUGCUAAAAGUGCUACUAGCCUAAGUAAAGUACUCAAUAUUCAUAAUCUUUAUUAUAAUACAUUUUGAGCAUUAUUAACAUGUUUUCAACAGUAAUUAGUGUAUUGGAAAUGAUUAUUGAUGAUGAACCAAAAUCUGGGCAAAGAGGAGAAGCAAAGAAUUUACUAGAGUUGAUGUUGUCAUUUAAUUUUGUGUUCUGUUUACAUUUGAUGAGGAAUAUUUUAGGGGCUACAGAUGAGUUAUCACAAGCAUUACAGAGGAAAGAUCAAGAUAUUGUGAAUGCUAUGAACUUGGUUAGGUUAUGUAAACUACAACUUCAAACAAUGAGACAAAGUGGAUGGAAUUCUUUAAUUGAUGAAGUUACUUUUUUUUUGUGUGAAGCAUGAUAUUGAUGUGCCUAAUAUGGAUGAUAUGUUUGUGGAUAAAGGGCGAUCACAACAUAAAGCUCAAGAGAUCACAUAUUUGCAUCGUUAUCAUGUUGAAUUGUAUUAUGCAGUCUUAGAUAUGCAACUUCAAGAGCUUAAUUCUCGUUUUAAUGAGACAAACAUUGAGUUGCUUCUUUGCUUAGCAUAUUUAUCUCCAAAUGAUUUAUUUUCAGCUUUCAAUAAGCAGAAGCUAUUACGGCUAGCCCGGUUGUAUCCAAAUGAGUUCUCUACAAUUGAUAUCAUGGCACUUGGGACUUAACUUGAUACAUAUAUUUUGGAUAUGCGCACUAGUGGUGAGUUUUCAGAAUUAAAGGAUAUUGGUGAUCUUGCAAAGCGGAUGGUCGAGACUAAGAGACAUAAUGUAUAUCCAUUAGUUUACUUGUUAAUAACAUUAGCAUUGACUUACUUGUUGCCACUGCGAGUGUAGAGAGAGCAUUUUCAGCUAUGAACAUUUUGAAGAAUCGGUUACGAAGCCGAAUGGGAGAGCAAUGGAUGAAUGAUAGUUUAGUUGUUCACAUAGAAAAAGACUUAUUUAAUAAUAUUGAUAAUGAAGUUGUAAUGCAACGUUACCAAUGUAUGAAAACUCGUAAAGGACAAUUGUAAACAUAUAUUGAAGUAUGAUAAAUUUUUUUAAAUUUAUAUAUUUAAUAUGAAAACUCAUAUUAUCUUUUAAAUCAAUAUGCUGUCUCCGCCCCUGCAAGCAUAUAGAUUGUUUUCUGGUGAAUACACAACGUCUUUGGAAUGAAGGUUUGUUUUGGGAUCAAAUGAUGCAAGAACGAUGUCGUUUCCUUUGAGCCUUUCUACUUUGCCAUCUUUGUAUACUUUUAUCGUGAGAGAGAGGUCUAUGGCUAUUUCUGCUGCCGGCUCUGUGGAAUCCAUGUGUAGAGAAAAAGUGCAGAAAAAUAUUGACGGGCUUUGUCUGUUCUCCAGGAGAAGGAGAAAGGAAAAUGGAGCAGAAAAACAUGCAGAGAUGAAGACAAGAUUUGGUAUGUGGAAGGCAGCAAGAGUGGAUAACGUUUACAAUUUAAAAAAUAAAAUAAAAAUGAUAAAGGGACAAAAAUGGUGUCCAAACAAAUACAAUUAGGCCCAUGUAAAUCAAGACAUAUGUUACGAUAACUCAUUAAGAAAAAAAUGAAAAAGGAGUUAUGAAGUGAAAUACAUAAUUAAAAAAUUAACAAUAAUUGAGCAAAUUAAAUUAAAAGAGUUAGUGGUGUUGAUUAUUGACACGUCACCUUGUAAUAGUUUUGUAAGUGCCAAACCACUCUCUUUCAAUUUUUUGUUUUUGUUUUUUGGGACAAGAUAAUAUGAGGAUUGGUAAGAUUUUAAUCCUUGAAUUAUCAUAACCGAAACUGUAAUUUCAAAAAUCGUAUCAGUUUUUGUUGAAGAUGGUAGAAAAUUUUGUUUGGUAAGGACUGCCUUCUUUGUGGAUUUAUCUAAACCACGCUCUUUAUUUCUCACCAACUCUGAUUGGCUUGGCUCCACGUCUCUUCAAUAAGUGGCAAGCAAAUUAUCCUUCUGAUCAACAACCAAAUUAUUGAAUAUUUUAUGCUUAGGCAUUACAUAUCUUGAUUGAGCAUAGCCACAGCAUUGCGUGCGGCUCUCGUUUAGACUCUGCUGUCUCCAAAUAUUUGUGUAGAUAUUUUUCGACUUCAUAGAAAUUGUGGCAUUUCCAGUAUAAAACUAUUGAUAAUUUUUUUCUUGCUCCAUCCAAUAGAAAUCACAAUAUUUGUUUUUCUUCUGAAAGACAGACAUGACAAAGUAAAUUUUCAUCUUCAUCACGUUGGCAUGCAGAAAUAUUUAUUUCUCUAUAUUUGUAUUAUAGAUUAUUGACAUUCAUACAAGUCAUAUUUAUUUAAUACUUUAAUUUUAUUUAACUUAUUUUUAUUAAUUAAUAAAACAAUUAUGAAGACCGGCAGUCAACUGUGUCCGACCGUUAUCAUGAUCAUCUUUUAUCAGCAAAUCACCAGAUUAGUAGGAUAACUUGCUAAGUGAAAUGAAUGAAGUUGCUGAAAAUUGAAAGAAACAGAGCUCAUAUUGGAUAUAUUCUGAUCCGAAAUCAAAGAGAAAUCGAUGGACUCCGUGAACAGUACUACUAUUACAUCAAGUUGUCUUAAUUGAUUUACGAUUGAAUCUAAUUAUUAAUACAUCAAUGAUUCCAGAAGGCCAAAACCUUUUCCGAAUUCUGAUUCCACGGAAUCCCACUUGUAUUUAGCCGCAAUCAACCUAUCUUAUUUCUUCUGAGGUAAAAAAAAAAAAAAAGGAAAGAAAAUCACACACACACACUAGAGUUAUUAUAAUUACCUUAUUCAUCUUUCCUCCCAAAUAUUUGCCGAACCAAAGCAAAUAACCCUUCAGUUUCAAGGCUUAUCCUGAUUGAAGAAAGAACAAAUUUUCUUGAGCAUAGACCCAGCAUUUUCACAAGUGGGAUUGAACAAAUGGAACACAUGUUGCUCUCCUUUAGACUCAACUAUCUCCACAUGGCCUCCCCACCCACUUUCCUUCAACUUCUCAUAGUAAAACCAUCCUCUAGGGCACAGGAAAUCCUUCUCCGCAGCAAACACCAGCACCCUGGCGCACCCCAGGCUUGCGAGGCUCGAACCGUCGGCACACGGAUUAACCCACGGAUCAUCGAGCCCGCUUGUGCUUGGACAAGCAAAUAGCCAAAAUCUCUCCGUUCCAGCUCUUAUUUUAACAUCAGUAGGCUCGGAACCAACAGGUUCAACACCCCAAAAGUAUGGAUGAAUCAAGACAAUACCAACAACAUUAAAGCCGUCGAUAAUUUCUCCACCGUUUCUUAUCGCCAUGUGAUGAGCAAUAUUAGCACCAGCGCUGUCCCCAGAGUAAAACACUCGCUCAAAAUCAGCAUUACGGUUGAGCCAAUCUUCGGGGCCAUUUCCGUCAACAUGGGAAGCAACCCAUUUGACUGCGUCCCAUGAAUCUUCAUAAGCGAUAGGAAGAGGAUGCUCUGGGGCUCUUCGGUAGUCGACCGAUACUGCGAUGAUGUUAGCUUCAGAGACCAAGUCGUUGAGGUAAUUAUGGUAAGUUGGUGAAAAAGCAGUCUCGAUGAAAAAACCUCCUCCGUGAAAAUAAACAAGAAGGGGAAGUUUUUGGUUUUGAUUUGUGUUUUUCGGGAGGUAAAGCCGAGCAGAUAAAUUAUGUUCAGGAGAAUACACAACGUCUUUGGAAUCAACGUUUGUUUUGGGAUCAAGUGAUGGGGGAACGAUAUCGGUGCCCAUAAGCCUUUCUACUUUGCCGUCUUUGUGUACUUUUAGCAAAGGUGAGAAGUCAUGGGCGACUUCUGAUGAUGGGUUGGUGGAAUCCAUGGAGAAGAAGCAGAGCACAAAAUGUGGAGGGCGUUCGUUUUUGUAAAGAUGAUAACGAAAGGAUUUGGCCUGUGCAGGACAGACAGGGAUUUGUCCCCGCCAUACCCUAAAAGGUUAGGUAUUUAUCCAACUACAUCCCCAUAAUUUAAAAUUUCUUUUAUAUACCUUUUUCAAUGUGCAAUUACAGAAUUACCCUAAUUUAAUUCUUCAAAUUUCAAAAUCUACCUUCACGAGCUACCAUACACAACGCCUGCUGUUGCAAGUUCAUGCUCCUGCUGCUGCAAGUUCAUCCACCACAUUAAAGAUUUAUUCAUCUUGGAUCAAGUUUAUGAUCCAACACCUCCCCUUAAACUUGAUCAUGUGACACCAAGCAAACUUUUGAAUUUUACAAAGUCUUCUUGCUUGAGUGGCUUAGUGAAGAUAUCAGCUGCUUGAUCUUGUGAUUUUACAUACUUGAUUUGCACUUCUUUUCUUGCAAUACACUCUCUUAUGAAAUGAUAGCGAGUGUCUAUGUGUUUACUUCGAUCAUGAAAGACUGGAUUCUUGGAUAGGGCAAUUGCUGAUUUGUUAUCAACACAAAUCUCGGUUGGCUCUUCUUGUGCCAAACUCAACUCCUUCAGCAAAUUUCUGAGCCAAAUUGCAUGACAAACACUUGAUGUGGCAGCUACAUAUUCAGCUUCACAGGUGGAUAGAGUGACAAUUGGUUGCUUCUUUGACAUCCAUGUGAAAGCAGUAUCUCCCAUGAAGAACACAAAUCCUGUUGUGCUCUUUCGAUCAUCUACAUCUCCACCCCAAUCGCUAUCGCUAUAUCCAAUAAGCUUGUAGUCAUUAGAAAAUGAGUAUAACAAGCCGAAAUUAAUUGUACCUUUGAUGUAGCGAAGGAUUCUUUUUGCAGCUUUAAAAUGAGUGGUCUUUGGAUUCUCCAUGUAUCGGCUCACAAGUCCAACAGCAUAAAGAAUAUCUGGUCUUGUGCAUGUCAAAUAACGUAGGCUUCCAACCAAACUUUUAAAGAAUGUUGGAUCUAUAUCUUCGCCUUCAUCAUAUUUGGAUAACUUGACUCCGCAUUCCACUGGCGUGCUUAUAGGCUUGCAAUCAUUCAUCUUGAACCUUUUGAGAAUCUCCUUUGCAUAACUUUCUUGGGAGAUAAAUAUGUCUUCUUCCUUUUGCUUGACUUCAAUGCCGAGGUAAUAUGUCAUCAGUCCGAUGUCAGUCAUCUCGAAAGCUUUGAUCAUCACUCUCUUGAACUCUUCAAACAAGCUUGGAUUACUUCCAGUGAAGAUGAGAUCAUCCANNNNNNNNNNNNNNNNNNNNNNNNNNNNNNNNNNNNNNNNNNNNNNNNNNNNNNNNNNNNNNNNNNNNNNNNNNNNNNNNNNNNNNNNNNNNNNNNNNNNNNNNNNNNNNNNNNNNNNNNNNNNNNNNNNNNNNNNNNNNNNNNNNNNNNNNNNNNNNNNNNNNNNNNNNNNNNNNNNNNNNNGAGCAAAUACCUCGUCAUAGUCUAUGCCAGCCUUUUGACUAUAGCCUUUUGCAACUAGCCUCGCCUUGUGCCUUUCAAUUUCUCCCUUCGCAUUUCUUUUUGUUUUAUACACCCAUUUGACACCGAUCGCCUUGUGACCUUUUGGAAGAGUAGUAAGCUCCCAAGCAAAAUUCUUCACAAUGGCUUUGAUUUCUUCAUCCAUUGCAAUUCUCCACUUCUCAUCUAGUGCAGCUUCUUGGAAGUUGACUGGCUCACAAUCAGCAAAGAGGCAAAAGAGAGUGAGAUUAUCAUGUCUCUCAGUUACCUCAUAGAGAUCUUGAAGACUCAUUGUACGUUCUUCGGUUCUUUCAUUUAAGAAAGGCGGCCGUGAAUCUCCACAUGUGGUUGAUGCUGGUGAGAUAGGUAGAGUAGCUGGCUCUUGUUGUUCUUCUACUUAUUUUAUCUUUGUAUUAUCAUCUUCUUUAAUGGGAAAGAAGUUGAAGUCAUCCACACCAGAGCCAAAAUCUCAUUCUCCUUCUUAAUCAAAAACUACAUCUCGACUGAUCACGAUCUUCUCGUUAUUUGGAUUGUAAAGCUUGUAUCUUUUAGAGUUGUUGUCAUAGCCGAUGAAGAUGAACUUCUCACUUUUGUCAUCCAGCUUGGCUCUACUUUCGUCUGGUACAUGUACAAGGGCAAUGCUUCCGAAAACUCUUAGAUGGGUGAUGCCGGCCUUUCUUCCACUCCAAGCUUCUUGUGGCGUCUUGCCCCACACACUUCUUAUUGGAGAUCAAUUGGAUAAGUAGACUGCACAUGCAACAGCUUCAGCCCAAAAUUCUUUAGGUAGCCUCUUACUCUUGAGCAUACUUCUUGCCAUGUCGAGGAUGGUUCUUUUCUUCCUUUCUGCAACACUAUUUUGUUAAGGAGAUCUUGGAACUGUCAAAGGUCGUUGAAUUCCAUUUGCUUUACAAAACUCUACGAAGUCUUUGAAAGUGAACUCUCCACCUCGAUCAAAUCUUAUGGCUUUAUUUUGGUAUCCACUUUCUUUUUCCACUGCAGUUUUAAACUUCUUGAAAGCUUCAAAGACUUCUGAUUUCUGCUUCAAAAAAUACAUCCAAGUUUUUCUUGAAAAAUCAUCUAUGAAGAGAAUGAAGUAGUUACUUUUAUCAAGGGAGCUUGGCUUGAAUGGACCGCAUACAUCAGUAUGAAUGAGCUCGAGUAGCUUAUGAGCUCUUGAGUUUGACUCUUUUGGAAAGCUCUUUUUGAACUACUUGCCAAGUAAACAUCAUUCACAAAGUUGAUCAGGGUGAUUGAUGUAUGGUAACCCUUUCACCGUGUUCUUCUUGAAUAGUAUCUUUAGUCCUCCAAAGUUGAGAUGCCCAUAUCGAAGAUGUCAAGUCUAUGAUGGAUCUUUGUGACAGGCUUUGAGACAUUUUGCAACAUCAUUUUAAAUAUUUAAAGGAAACAUUCUAUUCUUCGACAUUUUCACCUUUAUAAUUAGAUUUCCUUUGUCAUCUCUUAGGAAAAGACUAUAAUCUUUUAAGUGAAUAUCAUAGCCUUUUUCUAAAAGUUGACCCAAACUAAGAAUGUUGCUUUUCAUAUUGGGCACAUAGUAAACAUUCGAAAUUAUUUGGUGGCUACCAUCUUUUGCACGAAAAAGAAUGUUACCUGUCAACACCGGCUUGGUAGUCUUGGUUUGGUCCGGAUUGGUUCAGUUCGAGUUAUCUCGGUUCGACUUGAUUCGGUUCAGCUCGGCUUGGCUUGGUUCAGUUCGGCUCAGCUUGGUUCAACUUGGUGAGUUGACUUAGCUUCAGGACAGAACACUUCCGGCGGCAAGUGUGGGCGUGUCGGGUCUCGGAUCGAGAUGAUUUUUACGAUGUCACGUUCCUCUCGUCGAGAUCUUCAAUUUGAUAUGCUAUAUGACUAUAUAUAGCAUCAAGCACUAGCUCUGAUACCACUUUGUUGGAGAAUUAACAAAUAAAACACACAAAAAACACACUAUUUUAUUUCUUCAAUAACACUCCUCACCAAUUACAACUCUUAUUUUUCACUCUCUACACCUUAGAGAUUUUGCUACUUCACUUGAUGUUUAAACCAAAGGGGAGAGGAGGUAUUUAUACACGAAACAAACUAAUCACAACCAUUCAUUUAUUCAACUAAUAAACAAAUCCUCACAAUCUAUUAAAACCUACCACUCACCUACUUUACCAACCACACCUAACACACCUAACACAAAUAAUUCAAACCUCACCAACCAUACCUACUCAUGGAACCUUCCAUGAGUUGGGCUUGAUUUAUUAAUCCUGGAUCAAGUUUAUGAUCCAACAUGGUGUUGGGGUGAAAGGAAGAACUGCGGGUCUUCCUUCAAAACCAAAAACUAAUAGAAAAAUAAAGGAGGAGAUUUCACAUUUUCACAGAAACAAUAUAUGCAUGCAUGUUAGUAAUUUAUGCCUUCUCUUCUUUUAUUCUGCAAGGAGCUUGACAUUUUCUUCCCAUUUACCCUCAUUUUCAUAAUACUUGUUCCCCCGAUGAUAAAACAUUCGUAUAAACAUUCGUCCUAACCAGAAAGUACAACUUCUUAAUUAAAAAAUUAAAGUUUUGACGUUAAGGGUAACAUAAUAUUAUAAAAAAUAUAGGGGCAAAGUAGUAAAACUAAAAAAUAAAGUUGUAUUUUUUAAAUUGUACUUUUCAAAACUACAAACAAUAGAACUCAACAUUUUUAGAAGCUGAGUCAAUAGUAUCCUUAAUUUCUCUUUCAACAUUAAUAAUCAUACAAUUUUUUAAAAUUUUUUUUUUCAUCUUACUAUCGAGUGUCAAAUGAUGCAUGCCUUGAUAAAAUUUAUAUAUUGUUAUGAAAUAAUUAUAAUUUAUAUGGAUGUUCAUUAAAGCAUCCUUUUAUUUCCUCACAAUCAACUUUUCAUCUCUUAUAACUCCUAUUAUCUCCUUAAUUUAAGGAUUAUUGUCUCUUACAAUUAUGAUGUAUUACUUACUAUUUUAUGGUUGUAUCAAUAUAAAAGGAGACUUUUACUCCUUAUUUGUAUACACUUGGAAGUGUGAAUAACACACAAGAGAUUGAAUAAAAUUCCUCUCUACACACAUUAUGUCUCUUAUUUGCUUUCUUUAUUUCUCUUGCUAUAUGGUUGUGCUCUUAAUUAAUAGAUUUUAUAAUACGUUAUCAGCACGAGUCUCAAGCCACAAGAGAUCAAUUUUCAUCCUCUUUAAAAUAUGGUAAUAUCUCAUCUUUAAUCUUACUCAUAAAAUUAUGAGGUAACAAUCUUGAUUUUGUCUGAGAUAAUAUUUAUAUUUGCAUAUCUGCUGUACCGUACAUCCGCCUUGGCCGUACAGCAGCCUCUUUUAACUCCUCGCCAUUUCUUUUUAAUUCAUUGGAAACGGUCACAACUCGAGUAAAGUAGUCAGAAAUUGACUCCGACGCCUUCAUGUGUAAGGACUCAAAUUCUCCUCGUAAUGUUUGGAGACGAACCUUCUUAACUUGUUCCGCUCCUUUGUAAGAGGUCUCUAGUUUCUCCCAUGCUUCUUUUGAGGAGGUUGUACCAGCAAUUUUUUCAAAAGCAUCUUCAUCUAAUGAUUGAAAGAUGAGAUACUUUGCUUUAUUCUCUUUCUUCUUCAAGUCUUUUAAAUUCUCCUUCUGCGCCGCAGUUAAAGUGGCUUCAUUUUCUGGCACAAUAAAGCCUUUUUCCACGACAUCCCAUACGUCAUGUGCGCCCAAUAGAGCCUUCAUUUUAAUACUCCAAUUGUCAAACUUACUUCCCUUUAAUUGUGGAACUUGAAAUGACAUCAUACCACCGUUUGCCAUAACUCACAAAUUGAGUGAGAAUUUGGAGAUUCUGAAAGCACAAAUGGAUCCGGCACGUCGAAAAACCUUGGGAAUGACUCGAGUCAACUUUCGGUCAACGGUUAACGGUCAACGCUGGUCAAUGGUCAACGUCGGUCAACGGUCAACACCGGCUUGGUAGUCUUGGUUCGGUCCGGAUUGGUUCAGCUCGAGUUGGCUCGGUUCGACUUGAUUCGGUUCAGCUCGGUUCGGCUUGGUUCAACUCGGUGAGUCGACUCAGCUUUAGGGCAGAAAACUUCCGGCGGCAAGUGUGGGCGCGUCCGGUCUCCGAUUGGGAUAAUUUUUGCGGCGUCACUUUCCUCUCGUCGAGAUCUUCGAUUUGAUAUGCUAUAUGACCAUAUAUAGCAUCACGUACUAGCUCUGAUACCACUUUGUUGGAGAAUUAACAAAAUAAAACACAAAAAACACUAUUUUAUUUCUUCAACAACACUCCUCACCAAUUACAACUCUUAUUUUUCACUCUCUACACCUUAGAGAUUUUGCUACUUCACUUGAUGAUUAAACCAAAGGGGAGAGGGGGUAUUUAUACAUGAAACAAACUAAUCACAACCAUUCAUUUAUUCAAUUAAUACACAAAUCCUCACCAUCCAUUAAAACCUACCACUCACCUACUUCACCAACCACACCUAACACACCUAACACAAAUAAUUCAAAGCUCACCAACCAUACCUACUCAUGGAACCUUCCAUGAGUUGGGCUUGAUUUACUCAUCUUGGAUCAAGUUUAUGAUCCAACAUAAAGGUGAUAACGAAAGGAUUUGGCCUUUGCAGGACAGAAUUACUGUUUUUAUUCGAUGUGCUACAAUUAAUUAAUGAACGAUAUAUCUAAUUAAAUUUAAUAAUAAAAAAAAUUAUUAUUUUUUAUCUGUAAAUAUAAAUAUCUCAAUUAAUAUUAUCUUUAAAUAUUACUAAGAAGUAAAAGUUGUUUAAGUGUGUGUGUAUAUAUAUAUAAUUAUAAUACAUACAUACGUGUGUGUAUUCAACUGUUUAUUCUUAUCAUAUGAUUGAUAUGAUACGUAUUCUAAAAUUUAUUUUAAUUUGAGAUAUUUAGUUGAUAUAUUAAUUAAUGUAUUAGGGAUAAAAUUUUAUUAUUUAAAUAAAAAAUAAAAAAAAUUAUUAUUUUUUAUCUGUAAAUAUAAAUAUCUCAAUUAAUAUUAUCUUUAAAUAUUACUAAGAAGUAAAAGUUGUUUAAAUGUGUGUGUAUAUAUAUAAUUUGUGUGUGUGUGUGUUCAAUUGUUUAUUCUUACUUAAAAUAUCAAGAAUCCUAUCAUAAGAAUGGAACUCGAAUCCGUGAACCCAAUAUUGGGUGGGAAUAUGGGAUGGGUGCGAGUACAGUAGGGGGAGCCCACUCGAUUGGCGUUGGGUACGUAACGUUGGAGGCGAUGAAAACAAAACUCAAUUAAUUCCUCUCCACAAACAAGAGCUUUUGCGAAUCACAGAUGUGACCUAAUGAAAAGUGAUAACGUGAUAAGUGUCAUUCAAUUAUUGAUAGAUACUUUUGACAUCUGGAAACAUGUUGAAAAAUUAUGCAUAAUUGUGUCUCGCAGCAAAUUACAUUUGCAGUGUGGUCGCUUAAGUCAGUUCUCUGAAAUAAUGGGCAUGGUGCAUCCAUCCAUCUUGCGGACGGCGGAAUAACAAUGAAAGGUGAAUUUAGAGCUAGGUUAAAUCGAAUCAAACUGUAGUUUCUUUUUCACAAAUUGGCUCCUAUACAAUUCAACUCUUUAAUAUUCAAUCCUCAUUCAUAAGCUUGAUUAAUUAAAAUAGUUAUUAAAAAGCCAAAAAAAAGAGAUAGAGAGAGAACAUUGGAGUACAAGUAGAUAUAUAAUUAAAUAACAUUGAAUAUAGUUCAUAAUAUAUGAUGGUCCAGUUGGUUGGCAGGACAAUAAGCAAAUGUUGGGUUGGUGAUGAAAUAAAGAGUCAUUAAAUAUGAAUGACAUACACAAUAAAAGAAAAAAUCUAUAUAUGAACGACAUACGCAGUAGAUGGAUGAUUUGAUGUGCAUAUUUAAUUACUCUUUAUUUCAUUGUCGUGAAUAAAUUAAAAAUUGAUUUUAUUGCCAUUCAAUUUGAUAAUUUUAAGUAAUUUUCUUGUGCUGAUCAACUAAAUUUCGAAUCUUAAAAAUAAUAGGGGCUACAAAGUAAUUUGUAUUUUAAAAAACAAAAGAAACAUGACGAUAGAAAGUUAAUUCGGUGAACAAGCUUAUGCUGGUUGAACAGUGCAUACAACCAGCUAAAGGUCUACGAGUCAGAAUUUUGUGUUUUCUUGCCUAGCCUUUUAUUUUUAGGGUUUGUGUAAAUAAAAGUCAUAUAAAUGAAACAUUAUCUUAAUAUUAAAUUGUGUAACCACUUUGACUAGCUAGUAAAAGGCUGCCAUUCCAUUAGGAAAUCCAACAUAAUUUUCAAGGGAUCACUCUCUCCGCUGGCAAUUUUGCCCGCCAACCCAAAAAUCUCAUUUGUUAAAAUUAUGACUAAUAACUAGUACAAGGAGGAAAGGUAGUGUUAGUACAAUCUGAUAAUUGUCACAUAUAUAUUAGCAAAAGGAUGAGUAUAUUGAUACAAAUUUAAACUUUUUUUUUCCAUUUUAUCCCUAACUAUCUAUUAUAUUAUUUUAAUUUCUAAUUUUUGUGAAAGUCUAGCAAGUAGUUGUCUUGUCAUAUUAUUAUUAUUAUUAUUAUUAUUAUUAUUAUUAUUAUUAUUAUUUGAUAAGGUCUUAUCAUUAUUUGGUUUCAAGUAAGAAGAGAGAAAGUUAGUAAGAGGAUGAAAAUUUUACAAAAACUUGUUAAUGGCUGUGGUAAUUAAGUCAUUUGAAAUUUUCUUUUUUUUUAAUUCACUUUUUCUUGUUUUAAAACAAAUAAUGAGUUUUCAUACUUAUAAUAAUUCUUAUAAACUUCAUAUGUUUUGGCAUAAAAUUAGGUAAUUGGAAAGGCCCUCGUGUUGGAUGAAAUUAUCAAUUACAUGUAGCCCCUACAAAAUCAAUUGGAGGCAACAUUGCUACUAAAAAAACCUUAUUAACACAGUAAUAAUGAAUUAAUCUUCUUUAAUUUACUGUUGUAUUCCUGUACACUUUUAUUUUUAUUUAUUGAGUUUUGCAUUUUUUUUGCCACUAUUUUCUCUUAAUUUCAUGCAUUACUUUUUACUAUUCCCAGGUCUUUCUAUGCUGGUUUUGGAUAACUACAGUUGCUAGUUGUGAUUUAUUGUAGCCUACUAUUGUAGGUCUUUAUAGUUGGCGAGUUUUGUUUAUUGCAGCUACUUUAUUAAAGCACUUUUGCAUAUUGAAGUUUAUGGCUAACCUUUAUUAGAUACUUCUAACUUUUGUCCAUACAUUUUCUUAACUUUUGCAGUGAAGAUUUUUUUUUUUUUUGGUUUUUCAAGUAAUUUAAUUCUUAAUAAGGAGCCGCCUAUGUUGCAACAGUUGCAACAUACAACAACUUUUGUUCUUUUGUGUUUGAUUACACUACACUACAUUAUAUUUUUUGUAAAAUUUAAUAGCCACUAAAAGUAACAAACGUUUACAUAUAAGUCCAUUUUUGAAAUAAAAUGAUUUAACUAAAGGAAGAUUGUCAAUUCCUCCCCUACUGUAAUUAAUAUUUAUGAUUUGCGCCCUCAUAUUUUUAUAAUAGCCAAUAAUCCCUCAACAAUAUAAGUUUACAAUAUUACCCUUGUUUUUAAAUACACUUUUAUUCAUAUUUAUUAUAGAUUAAAUAAAUCAUGUGAAUGGAAAUUAAAAUAAAAAAAUUAAGUAUAAAAAAUACUGCUGUACGGCCAAGGCGGAUGUACGGUACAGCAGAAAUGGCAUUUUAAUAACUUAUAAUAGCCUAUUCCAAUUAUAAAAUAAAGUAAACACAUCAAUUGGAAUGUUGUUCAUUCUGAUUCCAAUUUGUAUAGCUCAAGUAAAUAACUUAUUCCAAUUCAAAUUUCUUAUUACAAUUCUAGCUCAUUUCAAUUCUUAUUUAAUAAACGCACCAUUAGAAUGUGUUUAGAACAUAAUAUUGUAUAUUGUUAUAAUAUUGUUCACAUUAAUUUAUUACUUACCUAUGUUUGGAAGUUUUAAAAGUUAGAUUGUAAAAGUUACAUUAAAUAUAUUUAAAUUAUAUUUUUUAUUUUUACUAUAAUAAUUAUAAUAUUAAAAAUAAAUCUGCUGUACCGUAUAUUUUAUUAUAUCAUAUUAUGUUUAUAUAUUAAUAAUUAAUAAAUUUAAAUAAUGAGAGUAGAUCUAGAAAUGAUAGUAAUAAUUAAUAAAUUAUGAAAUAUUUAUGAAUUUGUGGAAUAAAUAAACGAGUAUUAAAUCAUGCAUUGUAAUUGCCCAAUAUCAAUAAUAAAAGUCCUCUUAAAUUUCAUACUUAUUCCUUAUUCAUAUCAUUUAACAACUAAACUAAUAAAUAAAAUAAUUAUAAUUAUAUUUUUUUCCUGACAUUUCAAAAAACAAGAGGGAUUGCAAUGAAAAAAACCAAAAUAAAUACACCCUACCAUUGGAUUUGCUUUUACCAUUCUUGCCUUGGAUCCAAUGGUUAAAUUAUAAAAUGACAAAAGUAGUGGUAUGUUGGAACUGUUGCAACAUAGGCGGACCCAAUAUCCUUAAUAAUAUUUUCUAACAAAAUCAAUUAUAGAAACAAUCAGGAAAAAACAAGUAAAAUUGUUGUAAACUGUCUUCCGUUAAUUCAUCGUGGUUGAUCAACUCACAUGUGCAACAUCUAAAUCAAAUGGUACUUGAAACAAUAGAGACUUUUUUUUAUGACUUUUAUCUUUAUAUUUCUUUGCAAGGAACAAUAUUUAUUUGGAUUGCAAUGUCAUGCUUUGUAUUUGAGUCUUUUGGAUUGUAAUUACAUAUUUUAAAUCCUUUUUCACGUGACUACAAUUUUUUUGGUCACUAAAUUUCAAUUUAUGCCACUACAAUAUGUUGUUGUGGAUUUUUUUUUUUUAAUGAUGAUUGAGAGAAGUCACUUCAAUUUUUUGGAUACGAUAUAAAUAGUAGUCAAAUAAUAAAAUAUAUUGUGGUUAAAAAUAAUGUGAGACUACAUUACACAUAUUUUGCAAUGAAUGGAUCUAUCACAAAAUGUUAAUUUUUAUGACUAAAUGUAGUUGUUGCAAAGGUCAUCUAACUGGUCAUGCAAUAACAAAAUAAAUUGUCCUUAAAACAAUUUUUUUAUUUGGGAUGAUUAUGUAACGUUGUGAUAUAUAAACUUCAACAGUAGAAAAAAGCGUUGCUAAUUACAUUUUCGAACCUCUAAAAUGACGAAUUUUAGUAAUUAUUGUGACUAUAUUUUACAUAAUCUUGAGAUAGAUAUUAUGGUCACUAUAAAUCAUCUAUUAUGACAAAUGUCAAGUGUCAUUGAUUACAUUUUUGAAUCUCUAAUUUGACCAUUUUGAAUACCAUUUGUGAUGAUUUUAACUUAAUUUUAAGACAAUGAUUUUUGUCACAAAAAUAUAUUUUUAAAUUUAGCUUGACCCAAAUCCAACACGGGUCAUUGGGUCGUGUUCGUGUCGUGUCAACUUCGGGUCGUGUUAAAUUUAGCUUAACUCAAAUCCGACCCAUUUAAUAAUCGUGUCAAAAUAUUGAGACACAAACCCAACACAGAAAAAUAAUCAGGUUACCCAAUAACCUAAAUUUAUUAAUCUGCUGUACCGUACAUCCGCCUUGGCCGUACAGCAGUAUCAAUAUUAUAAAAUAUACAUGUCUACCAAUAUUUUACGCAUUUACACUAUUGAAUCUCUAAAUGUAUUUAAAAUUUUAUAAAUAAAACACUAUGUUUAUAUUCAUCCUUUUAAAGAAUAAAAAUAAAAGAGAAAAUAAUCUCUAAUAUUUGAGUUUUGAUGACAAGAACUUGUGAAUUAUUUUAAAAUAGAAAAUAUAAUUGGGUCAUUGAUCGGGUAAAUGGGUCAAGAAUUUUAACCCUAACCCGAUACGGAAAAAAAUCGUGUCAACCCAAACCCGACUCAUUUAAUAAUCGUGUUAAAUUUGAUGACCCAUACCCAUUUAUUUAUGUUGUAUUCGUGUCGGGUAAUCGGGUUGUAUCAAAUUUUACUAGCUCUACAUGUGACAAUUUAUUUUUUAUCGUAGAAAAUAUAAAGUAACCAACCUGUCAUCUUUAGUGACUAAAUUUUUUUAUAAUAAAAUAUCAUUUUUCUUGUAAAGUGAAUUGAAACAAUAGUUUAGAUCAAAAUAGGUAGGAUAUUGAAUUGGCGUUUAGAGAUUACCACCUAACAAUGAAGGGUAAGCAAUGAGUGAAAAACUGAGGAGACUAAUAAUAGUUAUUAAUCAUAGAACUCAAUCAAUGCUAACAUAAUUCUAUGACCAAAAUGAUGGCAAUAAUGCUACUUUGAAUAUAGUCCAUAAUAUAGUUUCCAAUACAUAACAAUGAAUAUAGUUCAUAAUAUAUGACAGUCCAGUUGGUUAGCAUGCAAAAAGAAAAUGUUGGGUUGGUGAUCAAAUAAAGAGUGAUUAAAUAUGAAUGUCGUAUUCAUGAAAAAAACAAUAUAUGAAUGAGAUAUUCAGUUGAAUAUGUUCAGAUAUGUCAAGAUCCUGCCAUUAUUGAUGAUUUCAUGUGCAUAUUUAAUCACUCUUCAUUUUAUUGUCGUGAAUAAAUUAAAAAAUUGAUUUUCUUGUCAUUCAAUUUGAUAAUUUCAAGUAAUUUUCUUGUACUAAUCAACUAAAUUUCGAAUCAUAAUAGGGACUACGAAUUAAUUUAUAUUUUGUUCAUCCUAGUUUUUAAAAAAGAAAAGAAACUUGACGACGGAAAGUUUGGUGAACACAUUUAUACCGGUUGAAUAGUGCAUACAACCAGGCACCAGCUAAAGGUCCAUGAGCUAGAAUUUUGUGUUUACUUGCGUAGCCUCUAGGGUUGGUGUAAAUAAAAGUUUUAAAUGAAACAUUAUCUUAAUAUUUAAUAGUGUAUCCACUCUGACAAGUACAAGGCUACAAUUUCAUUAGGAAAUCCAACAUGAUUUUUAAUGGAUCACUCUCUUGGAUGGUAAUAAUACCCGCCACCCAAAAAAUCUCAUUUAUUAAAAUUAUGACUAACAAUUAGUAAAACGAGCAAAAGUAGUGUUGAUACACAUUGAUAAUAGUCACAUAUUAUGAUUUUGAUAUGAAUUGAAGCAAUCGAUAAAAAUAGGUAAGAUAUUGAAUUGGCGUUUGUAGAUUACCACCUAACAAGCAGGGGGGAAGCAAUAGGUGAAAAGGUGAGGAGACUAAAACGAUAGUUAUUAUUUAUUAAUAGUGAUGGCCAAUUGCCGGCACAGCCCAUCAAACAUCGGCCCACAUGGGCUCGUGGGCCGGCACAGCACGGCCCACCAAUGCCGUGCCGUGCCAUGGGUCGUAUCCAAAAAUGCCCGCCAAACUUUUUUUUGUUUUUCCUUUAAGACAUGUCCAGCGUGCCUAAAAAAGUUCACAUGUCUGGCGUGUUUUUUUCAAGUACCUGACGUGUGUUUUUUAAUCCCACCAGCCUAAUAAUAAUAAUAAUAAUUUCAUAAAUCAUAGUAAUGAUUAAUGAAAAAUAAAAUUACAAUUCUAGAAUAACAAUUAUACCUAAUUUUAUUUGAACUACUAAUAUUAUAAUUGCACUUGAACUCCAUUGAAUGAAAAUAUAAUUUUUAAUUUAUCAUAAAAAUAUUUUGUUCAUAAGUUUUUUUUUUUUUUUGUGCAUAAAUAUGAAAAAUCUUUCAUUCACAAAUGAAACAUAUCUCCAUUAUCUAUUAACUAAGUUAUGAUUUCAUAAAUGAAAUAUUAAUGUCGUAAAAUUUUUUAUUUAUCAUUUAUAAAAUCAUGAUAUUUAUUUAUCCAUUUAAUAAUUUAUAAACAUAAAAAAUUAGAAUAUUUAUUUAAACUAGAACUUAAAUUAAUUUUUAAAAGUCUAUGCUAAAAAAAUAUAUUAAAAAUUUUAAUUACAAGAUAUUUGUAAAUUCAUGAUAUUUUAUAUUUAUUUUUCAUUAAAAAAUUUUACUUUGAUAUACUUUGGUCCACGUGCUAUUGAUGGCCCAUGGGCCGCAUGCUUAACUCACCAAUGAAGCGUGCUUAGAGCAUCUCCAAAAGCCUCUAUAAAUUUUACUCUUCAAAUAUCUAUUUGCUUACCUAUGUGGCAAAUAAAAUGGUGAAAAAAUAUGAUAUUCUCCAAAAGACUCUUCAAAUAGAAAUAAGUUAAUAUUAUUUUAAUCAAAUAAUUAUUUUUUUAAGAAAAAGUCAAUAAUAAUUAAAACACUUCUCUCUCUUUCUUCAAUGAAAAGUAAUAAAAUAUAAAUUGAAGAGAGAUAAAUCAACUCUCCAAAUUUAAAGAGAGAGAGUCAUUUCUUAUUUGAAGAAUCUUAAUUAGAGUGUCUUUUGGAGCUUUAAAUAGUAAUAUGACUCUUCAAAUAAGUAAUAAAAUUUAUUACUUAUUUGAAGAGCCUUUUGGUGAUGUUCUUAUUACGUACCUUUUCACGUGCCGUGCUUUGACUCAUCUCUAAUCAUGCCGUACUUUUAAGGCCUACGUACCUAAAAUUCUAGGCCCGGUAUGGUCCGCGUGCGUGUUGUGCCCGUGCUGUGCCUCGUGCCGCCCGGCCCAUUGGCCAUCUCUAGUUAUUAAUCAUAGAACUCAGUCGAUGAUAACAUAAUUCUAUGACCAAAAUGAUGGCAAUAAUGCUAUUUUGCCCUAAUACAGAUCAGUAUGACCAAAAUGUUGAAGAAGACCCAUAUGAAUGCAUGUUUUAAUUGCAAGCCAUUUUAUAGCUUUGGCACAUUUUCAGUUUUCACAUUAUUGUUAUCUAUUAUCAUAAAGAAUAAUGAUACUCGUAGGAAAAAAGGCACAAAAAUACAAAAGACAAAAAAUAUACAUUUGACUUAUAAAUAAAUAAAUAUUGUCUAACACUGAAUUUUUUUUUUUCUAAUGCUGUGCUAUUUUUUGUGCACAUAUCACUAUUCUAUUGCUAAUGAAAUGCAGGGCAUUUGAGUCCUUUCAAUAAUUCAUGUAUUUUUUUAUUCUACUUUGCUUCGUGCAAGGUAGCAUAAUUGUUAGUUUCUGCUAAUUCUACUGAGUGAUGAUACAAUCACCGCAUGGCCGGAGAGCCCGAGGUUAGGCCUAAAAAGUCCCCCCAAAAACAAAGUUCAACAUAGAAUGAUACUAUUUGUACAUAAGACAAGAAACAUUCCACUAAAAAAUAAAUUCAUUUAUAUAGACAUAUAAAAUAUACUCCUAAAAUUUCAUUCUAAAUAAUGUGGCAUAUGAUAUUCAUUCAUUAAAUUGUUAAUGAUUUUUUAUAAAUUUUAAGCGAAUUAAUUACAUUAUCUCAUCAAAUAAUGAAUGAAUGUCAAAUUAAUUGAGGUGAAAUUUUGUGAUGCAUAACACUACUCUCUUUAAUUUUAUCCAUAUGUACAAGUUAACAGAGCUUGAGUUUUUAGAGUAAUGGCUCACAUUACUCAUUGAUUAAUAUAAUCAGAGAUUAACAAAAUAUUGUUACAGAUCCUGAGAACUAGUGUUGUGAUUUUUGUAGUUGAGAAAAGAUAGGAAAAUAAAAAAUAAAAAAUAUUUGAAAAAAUAAUAGUUACAACUAAGGAUAAUAAUUUGCUGUUAUGCUCCCUAAAGACGGAGCUUGGGAGAGAAGUCCAAUCUUGACCUUGAGAGUGAGAAAACGGGCUCAUGGAAGAGGCUUGGUGAGAGCUUCAGCUAUCUGAUAUGCAGAAGACACAUGAGUGACAUGAAGAGCACCACGUUGGACUUUAUGUCUUAUGAAAUGAAAGUCAAUAGCAACAUGCUUCAUUCUUGAACGAAAAAUGGGACUAUAACAGAGUUGAUUGGCCCCAGUAUUGUCACACAGUAUAUAACAUUCUAUAACAGAAAAGACUAACACCAAGAUCAAAUAAGAGAUAGCAAUCCCGAUUUAGAUCCAUCAAUAAAACCAAAUAGAUCAUAGACAAUGAAUAAGAUAUUAAAUUGCAACUUCCAUGAGAUGUAGUAACAUUGAUAGUGAUACUGGUGUUGUGAGUUUCAUUGGUGUUGUAAAUGGUGGUGGAGGAUGAAGGAUUGGUCGGGAUGACUGGAUAAAAGACAAAGAAGAGAGAAUUGGCUACCACUUAAAAUUGAUAUGAUACCAUAACAGAGCUUGAAUUUUUAGAGGAAUUACUCACAUUUCUCAUUGAUCAAUGAUCAAUGAACAUAUAUAUGCAAUAUGAGGCUGACAAAAUAUUAUUAAAUGCCCUAGAAAACUAGUUCUGUGAUAUUUACAAUUGAGAAAAAUUUAGAAAAUACAGAGCUAAAAAAAUAUUUGAAUAAAUAAUAGUUAUAAUAAUAUGUUGUUAUAAGUGUCCUCAUUCUAUUUGUCAUAUGCAAUUUUGUGUGUAAAUAACAUUAUUCUUAAUUUUUAUUUUUAUUUGUCCGUUAACAUAAGGGGUUUGGGCUGAUCAAACAUCAUUUUCCAAUUCUAUUACUCGACUCGUGACAUGACGGUGCUGAGCUAGCAACUUACUAGGGCUAACAGUGAUUUAGUUGCACGCUGAAUAGACUUGAAACAGGGGUUUAAAAGCUGGUCACCAGUGCACAUUUCUAAGCAAUUUUCUUGUUAUUGAGUGAGAUUAAAGAAGAUUGCAAACCGGGAAAUUGUUCUCUGAGGAGUGCAUAAUGUAACCUUUAGUUGGCAUUCGUUGAUGAAACAUGCUUAUUGUCACGGGAUAAAUAUUUUACGCAGCAACUCAUGUGGUACUUAAAUAAUUUUUAGAACAAAAAUUGUUAAGUAAGCCUAGAGAAUUUCUCAAGCUAGCCAAACAAGGAUACUUGAGAGAAAGCUAGAGAGAGGAGAGUAAUAUGGCCAAAGUAAAUUUUAUUACUCGAAAGAGAAAAUAUAAGAGAGCUUUACAAUAAUGCUUGAGUUGCUUGCUUGGUGUGUUAGUGUAUGGUGUGGUGUUUAGUGUUGUGGUUGAGCAAAAUGAUUGACGUCAUGCCUUAUUUAUAGAGUGACUCGUCUAGAUCUAGAUGGUUCCUUGCAAGUUUUUGUAAGUUGCCUAAAAAUCUAUUAGAUUCUAGAUUACGUAAGUGUAUAAUUAUUUAGACAAUAUAAGUUGCAAAGAUUUAUAAAGAGUUCUAGAAUCAGGCUGGACUCACUCACUUUAAUUUGUGAAUUUACUAGUAUACCACGAGUCGCUAAUUAUAUGAGGCAGCUCACUGUUGAGCAUAUUCUACUGUUGAGCGCAUCCUAUCUUUGAGCGGACUUUUAUUGAGCAAACCCUUGUGCGUGAAUUUAGUCUCCGUGACAAACUUGAGUGGGCUGUGAGCGUGACAUUACGCUGUUUUCUCUCUUGGACGUAGGCAACCUUACCAAGCCACGUAUAUUGUCCUCAGUGUUCUUGAUUUUGUUUUGCGUUGUUAAUUCAUCACGAGGACAAGACUAAAUAACAAAAGUUUUAAGCACAAAAUAAAAUAGAAGAAAGGGAAGAUACGCAACCUUGUGCAGAGCAGGCCAGCACAGCUCUUCUUGUUCUGGCUUUCUGAGGUGGAUGGCCCCACUACAAUAAUUUUUAAUAUUUUAAAGAAAAAGGAAACCAACAAUCUUCACAAAAACCCGGUUCCCCGUUUAACAUAAAGAUUUAUUUUUAUCAAAAAAAGAUAAAGAUUUAUUAAAAAAAUUUGUAAGAGUGAAGUAACUGUUAUGAGUUUUAUUGUGGAUUUCAUCUAACUCAAUUUUAUGAAUUGUUUGAAUUCCAUAAACUCCCGCUAGUGGUUCAUAUCUAUGGCGGAGGCUUUUGCAUCUAUUAAUUCUGCCUUUCAUCCUACUUACCAUAAUUAUGUUAAUAUCUUGGUCUCUGAAGGUAAAGUUAUUGCGGUCUCCUUUGACCAUCGACGACCUCCAGAGAAUCAUGUCCCUUGUGCUCUUGAAGAUUCAUGGGCUGCACUCAAAUGGGUUGCUUCCCAUGCUAAUGGACAAGGUCCUGUGGAUUGGCUUAACCAUUAUGCUAAUUAAAUGAAGUGAUUUAGAAGAAAAAAGAAUCACAAGUUAAAAGAGAGGCAAAUUAAUUGCAUAUAAACAUGGCCAAUUUUUUAAUUUUGAAAAAAAAAAGUAAAGCCUGGAUUUUUGAGACUUUAAAUGUGGUUGAGUAAACAAUUGGAAGAACCAAACCUCUAAACUGAUUUAAAAAUUUUUGAACCAAGUGCCCAAAUCUAAAUUCUUAGAUCCGCCACUUCUUAAUGAAGCUAGCUCAGGCUUUUUUAUCUUCUUAUAUAAGCAACCUUAUCAAGCCGCAUAAAUUGUUCCUGCAGGUUGUUCUCGAUUUGAUAUAAUUUGCUUCUCUCUUUGAUCUUUCAUUGAUUUUGCCCAUCUCUUUGAUCUUUCAUUCGUUAAUCUUGUUCUUAAUUAACGUUAAAAGUUCCUGGUAACGAAACAAUGUCCGUAUGAUUUGAAACCAAAGAGAAAUAUGAUGAAGAACAACAUUAAAUUAAUAGUACACACAUUACUGAGUUUCCGGUGAUCACAUCAGAAUACAUUAUCUCGAUUUAAAAAUGAAGCUAAUUUAUCCAUCAAGGGCACAGCCUCUUCAGAAUCUAGAUUGAACAAAUAAAACACGUGAUCCUCUCCUUGUGUCUCCACAAUCUCAGUUUCUCCAGCCCACCCACAAUUUUCAAAGUCUCAUAAUCAAACAAUCCCGUCUCUCCAAUUGUCCUUCUCAGUAACACAAACAAGAACCCUGGGGCACCUCAGGCUUCUUAGCCCAGAGUCAGCAGCUGGUUUUAUUCUCACAUCAUUGAACCCACUUAUAUAUGGACAUACAAAUUACCCAGCAGUUAUCAACUACUCCAUAAUUUCUCCCAAAAUAUGGCUGAACCAAGUAAAUUCCUGACAGUUUUAUCCCAUUCAAGUCAUCAAAACUCGCUUGAAAUGCCAUGCUGUGCACAAUAUUGCCGCCAGCACUGUUACCGCGUAAAAACACAAGUAAAAUUAGCACGAGUGUUUUGCCCAGCUUCAUAACCAUGAGCACUGAUCUUAAAAUGAGAAGCAACCCAUUUGAGAGCAGCCCAAGUCUUCAUAAGCUGCAGCGACCAAGUGUUCAGGGGCUAAUCUGUAAUCAACUGAGACUACAAUAACAUUUGCUUUGGCUGAAUGAGAGCCGACAUAGUUGUGGUACGUGGAACAAAAUGGUGAGCCCAUGAAUAAGCCUCCGCCGUGAUAAUAGAAGAGGGAGCUUUUGGUUUGUUUUAAUGGCGGCUGAAGGGAUGAAGAUUCUUGCUGUUACGCCUUUCUCUGGCACAAUAACUACAUCUUUGGAGCAGGCAGCAUUUGGGGAAUCCACUGAUGCUGAAACUUUAUCGGCGCCAAAGAACCCUUCCCCAUGCCCAUCUGUAUGCACGAAAAUAUGGAAGAAACUCAUGUGCAACUGCUCUUGAUUUUGAAUCCAUUGUUGGAUUAGAGUGAUAAUACAACCACAAACUCUUGUAUAAAUUUAUCUUGUACAAAUUGACGUAACAUUAAUUUAUUGAUUGAAUGAAAAUAUAAAAUAAUAAAAAUAAAUCAUGUCUUAUCAUGUAAUAUCAGUUUGUACAAAAUAAAUUUAUAUAAGAAUUUGUGACUAUUAUAUAAAGAGCAGCAGUACAAAGACAUUAUGAAAAAUUGCUUAAAAAUAUAUAUAUUUUGACAGUUUGGUUUCUUUGGUUGGUGAUUUCGUGCUUUCUGGGACAGAAAAAGGACCAAGUUUGGUCGUGUUUGUCAUAAAACUUCUUUGCUUUUAUCGGAAAAAUUGUAAAAUGAAACAAAGCCACGCAAAACCGGCUGUACUAGUAAUUAUCUUAAUUUUCAAGUUAUAAUAGUUAGUAUUUGUCAAAUACUUAAUAUUAUACAUUUUAAUUUACAACUGUCUAACCUUAAUUUUAAAUAAGGCAUUACUCACAAAAACCAAUUCUUAAAGUAUGAGCGUAUGUGAACUUCACUUAUACUGUCAUCUACUAUUUAAAUUGUUAUAUUUAGCUCAUGUGGGGUAGGACUUAGGAUCCCUAUCUAUUUAAGAAAGAUUUGACAUAAAUAUAUAUAAUGUUUAUAAAUCAUAAUGUCGAUUUUAAAAUCAUGGCAAUUUAAUUUCUAAAAUAGUGCAAUUAACUAUCCAUUGAAGCAAACUUUGCCACCUUAAUUUUUUUAUUGCAAAAAUCUGUAAGAAAUCGAAUUGAAUUGAAUUACAAAAUUGGGAUGAUGAUAGCGGCCAGAACAUGAAAGCCAAACAUCUCACGUUUUUGCUAAGGAAAUUCAUUCGGUAAUUGGCCAUGUGUCCAGUUGUGAGUUUCGUGACACUUUUCCAUCAGACUUUCAACGGAUAAAAUAAAAAAAAUUUGACAAUAAUAGUGGGCUUUACGUUAAUUAAUAGAAGAAUAUGAGUAUUUAAGGGUCUGUUCGGCAACGUGUUAUGGGCUCUAUUUUCAUUUUCCUUUUAUGAAUCUAAGUUAAUACAUGUUUGAUGGUUGAAAUUUAAAAAAAAAAUUGUAAAAUAAAUAAGCUGAGAUUCACUUUUAUAACUAUUAAAGUGAGAACAUGUUUAACAUGUUCUCCACGUAUUACAAAACUAAAUUAAAAAAUAAAAUCUAAAAGUCUCGGCCUUAUCUCUUUAUCCUUAUUUCUUUGUCCAAUAACGCUGACUCUCGCUCUUUAUCCCUCUCAAUCUACUAACAGUGGCGAUUAUUCUCUCUCGAUGUGCCCAAAUCAGCUGUCGUACUCCAUCUUUGUUGUCGCUGCUACUUCAUCUCAACCACUGUUGUUCCUCCAUCUCUGCCGAUGCUGCUCCAUCUCAACUAUCUCAUUUGUUGUUGCUCCUCUCUCGACUCCAUCUAUGCUAUUGUGAGUUAUUGGUAUUUAUUUAGGGUAAUUAUCCACCAUCCACCUAUUUUUUUAUACUUUUUCAAAAAUACACAAUUUUUUUUUUUUACUGAGCUCCACUUGACGUUUUAUUUUUUUGCACAUGUCCAUUGCCAUCUUCAAACCGUUAAGAAAACUAACGGAAUAUUAUCCAAAUUAAGUUUUUGAAGCAUAGGUGAAAUUAUUAUUAUACCCUUAUGACGUCAGAAAAGUCUUAUCGGUUUGAAGACGACGGUGGACAUGUGCAAAAAAAUAUAAUUUUAAGUAGAGCUCAGUAAAAAAAAUUAAGAAUUGUAUAUUUUAAAAAAAGUGUGAAAAAACAGGUGGACGGUGGAUAAUUACUUUUUUUUUGUAUUUGAGUAAAUUUUUACUAAUUAUUAUCAUACUAUUUUGUUUUGUUUUGUGAUCAUGAUCAUGAAAUAAAAAUUGUGGCUAAUAAAGUCCAAGCCCAACUCGACAAUAUAAAUAAAGGAUCCGAACCCGAUAAAAAGCCUGAAUUUUCACUUUCGGAGACCCAACCUUAAUAUUUUUUUAAUAUUUAAAUAUUUUAAAUUUACCUCCCCUAAUAUAUUCAAAUUAAAUAUAAAAAUUACUUCAAUCGAUAUCUCAACCAUAAAAUCAUAUAAAUAACUAAACAUAAACAAAAAAAAAACCAUGUCUAAUUCAAAUAAAGUCACACAAUUCAAAUUAAAACACACUUUUUUUUUAAUUAUUAAGUAAUCGAGUCGAGUCGGGUUGGGUCGGCUAAUUAUUAAGUAAUCGGAUAGAGUUGAGUCAGAGGUCAGGCUUUUGAUCGGGCUUUUAUUUUUAAGCCUAAGCUUGAAUUUUGACCCUUAACUUCGGGUCAAAACCCAAAAAAUUCGGGCCGGAUCAAUUGGAUCAAAAUUCAGGUCGGAGUUUUUUGACAUCUCUUAAGUGAUUGUUUUGCUAGCCAAGAUUUCAUCAAUUCUAUUCUAGGAGUUGGACUAUAAAAUAGGGACCGAUUAAAUAUUUAUUUUGUAAAUAUGAUUUUGUUGUUCUUAUUUGGAAUUGGUUGUCUUGUUGUGUUGGAAAAUCAUGCAAAGGCAUAUUAUUUACCAUUUUGAUGCGGAGUUUCACAGCAAAGCAUGUGGGUGUUGUGAGUUAUUGACAGUAUUUUUGUUGUUCUUGUCUAAUUCCAUUGCCAUUUCAUUUAAUAUAUCAGGGACCGAAAGCAUAUUAAUGCAAAAAUUGUAGAGAUUAGCGUGAACUGAUUGUAAUAAUAGCAUGCUGUAUUCAUUUAGAUGCGAUUGGUUUAGUGUACAUUACCUUGAUUUCAUUUUUCUUAAAUUUUUGUUGUGUUGUGAAAAAAUGAGUUAAAGAUAAAAACUUUUGACAAGAGCUUGGUCUUAAUUUGAAAUGGUCAAUUUGUAGUAGAAUACAUUUGAUUGUGAUAUGUUCAAUUUUUAAUCUAUGACACAUUACUGAAAUGGUUUUCAUGCUAUGUUGAAUUUGAUUAAUUUUAAAAGUCUGAGCUAUGUAUGUGUAGGAGCAGUUUCUUUAAUUUAAUUAAUAUUUGAUAUAUGUGAUUUUUUUUAAAUUUUGUAGUAACACGAUAUGGAUCCACAUGAUGUUGAUUGGUGAGCAUAAUUAUAGUUUACGUAAGCAACGUCUAAUUCUAAUUUCAUGUUGUGUUUUACAUAAUUUUAUUCAACGAAAAAAUGCUAGUGAUAGGUUGUUUGAGGACUUUAAUGUGUAAGAUAUGAUUACAAAUGAAUGAGAUAUUAGUAGGCCACUUACUACUAUUCAGUGUUGUAAAGAUGAAUGCUACAAAAGAUAAAAUUGCAUUUUAUGCGGCAUGAUUACACAUGUAAUGCAUGAUGCCUAUCAUGUAAUUUUUAUACUUAUUUUGUUUAAAUCAUCUGUGUUAUAAUAUAUAUCUUAAUUAUAGUGUAAAACAAUGAUAAUAUAAAACUUUUUUUUAUUAAUGCUAAUAUUAAAAUUUUAUCAUCAUGUAAUUUUUUAUAAUUAUUUUUGUUUAAAUUAUUUAUGGUAUGUUUGUGUAUGUAUUAGUUGAAUAAUUAUUUUCUAACUACAAGUAUGACUUAAAUAUUUUAUAAAAAUUAUUUUUAAAAAUGGUACUACCGAAUAUUUAUUCAUUAUUUUUAUCAUUUUCAAUUGUGUCUACCAAAGGUAUAUUACUGUUUGUAGUUUUAAAAUACAUGAUGCAGAAAAAUGAUACUAGAUGUGUACUAAAAUUCGAAAUACAGCAACUGCAAAACACUAUUUUCAUUCUCAUUUUUGUUUUCAUAAAAUACAAAUUCGGAAACAAUACUAAAUAGCCCCUAAAUAAUUUGUGCUGUGGUCAUGUUGGUCAGCCAAUAGUAUUUUUCAUCGUGGAAAUUUUGCGGGCUUUCUAAGAUUAUGCUUUGAUGAAAAAGGAGUGUAAGAUACUGAGAUGCGUUUGAUGUCACUCCAAAACGAAAAGUAACUCAGGUGGCGUUUGUUUUUUUAUCUGAAAUCUGAAUAGACCUGAAUUAGUCUGAAUUCUGAAUAGGUCUGAAUGUCUGAAUCUGAAUAAUAUGUUUUACCAUAAAUUUCAAUUUUAUCGUAUAUAAUAUAAGAAAGAAAAGUAAGGAUAUUUUUAUGUGGGGUAAAUGUCUAUGGGUGAGUUUUGGGAUAGACAUGAAAAAUAAAUUAUAAAACAUGGAUAUUUUUGACAUUAGCAAGUAAUUGACUUAAUUCAGAUUUCUCCAUUAAGUAAAAAGCCAAAAAAAUUAGCUUAUUUUAUUAAGUCAAAAUUAUCUAAAAAGUCUCAUUAAGUUAUAAAAACAAACACCUCUAAUUAACUUAAUUAAUUAAGUUAAGUCACUUUAAGUCAUUAAGUUAAAAAACAAACGCCACCUCAAUCUAGAUUUGGUUUAGAGGAGUCUCCAAAUCCAAGACACUAUAAAUGUGAAUGGAUGCCUUCAGAAUUAAACUGAGUGUGUUUAGGUUGAGUUCAGUUCACCUACAAUUCCAUUCGAGAUCAUUAAUAUCACUAAAAAAUGAAUAAUGAUGAAGCAGGGUUUGGAUUCGUUUGGACUUGUUCGGAUUUGGUUUUCCCAUCACUGUUGCCGUAGACUUGCUCUAUUCCAUCACCAAUGAUGUAUUCCUUCCCCGUACUUCGUCACCAUCACCGACCAUGAUAAUGUUGUGAAACUAAGUUUUGGUUUGUUAAGGUAGAGAACAAAGGGAAUAGGGAUCGUGAAAUGUAGGGGGUGUUUCAGUCCAAAAAGAUAUUGUUUGGCUAAUUAUGAUAAAUAUAAUUUUGUGGGGUUAAUUUUAAAAAAUCCAUAAUUUAUUGGCAUAUUUUUAUAAAUUUUCCUAGAUUUCUCCCUAAUAAUUGUGAGGAUGAAUUUUCAAACUAUUGCUCAACAGAUUUACAUAUCGACAAAACAUUGUGAACAAAUAGAAUAUAAUGAAUUUGAAAAAUAAGCAAAUGCUUGCCUAGAACAAGGUAAAGAGAACCCAACCAAAUUGGCAUCUUUAACGAUACUCCUAGUUUAUGAAGCGAGGAAUCAACCGUUACUUUUUUCCUUUUUAGGGAUAAUUGCAGAUUAUCUUUACUAUCUUCAAAUCUCCCAUUAUUUUUAAAAACCUUAGUUUAUCUUAUAUUUUAUUAAGAAGACCAAAAAAAAAAAAAAAUCAUCAACUCAACCUCAUUAUUCUCUUACAUUUUCAAUAAAAAUAUGUUAACUUGAGAUUGUAAACAAUAAAAUAAUAAUUUAAGGAUAGUUAAUUUACAAUGAGAUAGUUUACUUUAUAUAUAUACACUCAUUCUAUAAUGCAGGUGUCAUCCUAAUUUUAUUUUUUUUCAUACGAACACACUUUUAAACCAUAGAAUUUACUAGAGUUAAGAUCUCAACUCUUAAACUGUAUGGUUUUAUAAUUUAUUCAUAAAUAAGUUUAUAAAACCCCAUGAUUUAAGAACAUAUCCGUAUUAGGGCCCCCGCAGAAUGGUUAUAUAUCUAUACACACACACACACACACAAAAUAUGUUCUCAAGCCAACACCAUUUUGCAUUCUUUUAUGUUUUUGUACAAUGAAAAAAUGAUUGGUGAAAAACAAUAUCAAACGCAUCCUUAAUUUCCUUCUAGAUCUCUCUCUAUUUACUAACAUUUGCAUUCUCAGAUCUAUUUGCUUUUCUCCCCUGUUUCGCUCUUGGUAUGCAAAAUGAUUCAAACUGUCAAGAAACUUUGAAAUUUAGAUUUUUUGUACGAACCGAAUCCAAACAUGCAUGUGAGCCAGCUGCAGGUAAUUCAAUGAAGCACGCAGCUAGCUACUUCUUAUUAAUCAAGCCAUGUGUGGCCUUUUAUUGGGUAGUACUCUAAGGGCGCAAGAACAUGUGUUACAAAAGGACUGCUUGUAAUAUUCAAAAUUCCGUAGUUGCAGCCAAAUGUCUUUUUUGAGGCAUUUCAUCAAACAUUUAGUUACUUUCAUCAAACACCUAGUUAAACUAUAUUUCUCUUCUAAAUUAAAAUACCAGAUAUACAUAUUUUUUCAAAUUCAUAAUAAAAAUUUGUACAAAUCGAUUCGAGAUGAUUAGUUUCUGUAAUACAAAGUAAAGAUAAGCUUUGAGAUUGGAGCAAGAGUAAAAGAGGCGAAAACAACCCAUAUAAAUUCGAAUUCAAGCAUUGUCGUGGCUAAAGAAAGCAGCAGUUUUCUUGAGCAUAGACAAAGCAUUUUCGCAAUCUGGAUUGCGCAAAUGGAACGCAUACAACUCUCCUUGAGACUCAACAAUCUCCACAUCGCCUUUCCACCCACUCUCCUUUAACUUCUUACAAUAAAACCAUCCCCUAUAUCUUAGCAUAUCCUCCUCCGCAACAAAAACCAGCAUUCUGGCGCAUCCCUGCUGGCUCGUUAGGUUCGAACCAACUGCUGGAUUAAUCAAUGGAUCAUUGCAGUCAAUCAUGCUAGGAUAAACAAAUUGCCACAUUGCCUCACGCCAUUCUCUUGUUUUAACACCAGUUGUCUAGUCAGGAAUAGGAUCCUUGCCCCAGAAGGAUGGAUGAGUUAAAACAAUCCCAAUCGUCGAGAAUUUCUUGACAAUGUCUUACUCCCAUGUGGUGAGCUAUAUUAGCGCCAGAACUGUCACCAGCGAAAAACACUCUCUGAAAGUCAGCAUAAUGGUUAAGCCAAUCUUCCGGGCCAUCCCCAUCAACAUGGGAAGCAACCCAUUUGAUUGCAGUCCAUGAAUCGUCGUGAGCACAGGGGACCGGAUUCUUCGGGGCUCUCCGAUAAUCAACCGAGACUGCUAUGAUGUUAGCUUCAGAAACUAAGUUGUUGAGGUAAUUAUUGUAAGUAGAAGAACAGGCAGUGUGGACGCAGAAGCCUCCACCGUGAAAAUAAACCACAAGAGGAAGUUUUUGGUUUUGAUCUUUUGUGUUUUUCGGAAUGUAAAGACGAGCGGAUAGAGUAUUUUCAGGUAAAUACAAAACGUCUCUGGAAUCAACGUUUGUUUUUGGAUCAAAUGAUGGAGGAACGAUGUCAUUGCCCACAAGCCUCUCUAUUGUGCCAUCUUUGUAUAUUAUCAUCAUAGGAGAGAAAUCGUGGGCGAUUUCUGAUAAUGGCUCUGUGGAACCCAUUGAAGCAGAAAAUGUCGGCAGAGCGCCGGCAAGCCUGAAUUAGCCUUUCUAAUAAAAUAUUACUAGCAACAGCCAACAAAGAUCUUGCUCAAGUUAGGUCUCAUAUACGCGUCAAUGAUAUUACUAGGCUGCUGACAGGGCACAGAUGAGCUAGCAGCUUAGUGUGGUUACCAACUGAACAGAAUUGAAACAGUUGUUUCUGAGAAAUUUUCUUGCAACUUAGAGAGAGUUAGCCAAGAUUGUAAACAUGGGAUUUGUUCUUUGCAGAGUGCUGAGUGUAAUCUUUUAAUCGGCAUCUGUUAAUGAUGCUUGCCGUGGUUGUUUUCUCUUGCAGAUAUAAGCAAGCUUGUCAAGCCACAUAAAUUGCUCUUGUGAUGUUCUUGAUUUGAUUUUGCAUGUCCCUAUGAUCUCAUUGAUUAAUCUUUAGAUUUAGAUCCUGAAUUCUUUCUUGAUCUCUUCUUGAUUUGAUAAUCACAUUGAAUUGGAUCCAACAGUAACAAUGGCUCCUACAAUUAAACUCUAUUCAUUUUCUUUCCUUAUUGUUCUUAAGGUAAGGUACACAAUAUCACUUGUAAAUUAUACACCCAUCGAUGGAGUAUUUGAAUGUUCUUAUAUAUACAUCUAUGAAAUUUCUGAUAAAAGAAAUGAUGUCCAUAAUGUGAAACCGAAGAGAAAUAUGAUGCUGAACAACAUUAAAUUUAAGAGUACACAGAUUACUAAGUUCCUGGUGAUCACAUCAGAAAACAUUAUCUUGAUUUAGGAAUGAAGCUAAUUUAUCCAUCAAGGCCACAGCCUUUUCAGAAUCUGGAUUGAACAAAUGAAACACAUGAUCCUCUCCUUCUGUCUCCACAAUCUCAAUUUCUCCAGCCCACCCACAAUUUUUCAAAGUCUCAUAAUAAAGCAAUCCCCUAUCUCUCAAAUUAUCCUUCUCGGCAACACAAACGAGAACCCUGGGGCACCUCAGGCUCAUUAGCCUAGAGUCAGCAGCUGGGUUUAUUCUCACAUCAUUGUACCCACUUGUAUUUGGACAUACAAAUACCCAACACUUAUCAACAACUUCAUCAUUUCUCCCAAAAUAUGGCUGAACCAAACAAAUUCCUGCCAGUUGUAUCCCAUUUAAGUCUUCAAAACUCGCUUGAACGGCCAUGUUGUGCACAAUAUUGCCACCAGCACUGUCACCGGCGAGAAAAACACGAGCAAAAUCAGCAUGAUCGUUUAACCAAGCUUCAUAGCCAUGACCAUUGAUAUUAAAAUGAUAAGCUACCCAAGUGAGGACAGCCCAUGAGUCUUCAUAAGCAGCAGGGACCAAGUGUUCAGGGGCUAAUCUGUAAUCAACUGAGACUACAAUAACAUUUGCUUUGGCCGAAAGAGAGCCUACAUAGUUGUGGUACGUGGAACAAAAUGGUGAGCCCAUAAAGAAGCCCCCGCCGUGAUAAUAGACGAGGAGAGGGAGCUUUUGGUUUGUUUUAAUGGCGGCUGAAGGGAUGAAGAUUCUUGCUGAUACGCCUUUCUCUGGCACAAUAACUACAUCUUUGGAGAAGACAGCAUUUGAGGAAUCCAUUGAUGCUGGAACUUUAUCGCUCCCAAAGAAUCUCUCCACAUGCCCAUCUCUGUAUGCACGAAAAUAUGGAAGAAACUCAUGUGCAAUUGCUCUUGUUUUUGAAUCCAUUAUUGCUUGUUGCAUAUUAUUAAUUCUAGUGAUGAUGAUUAAAUAACGAGAGUAACAGUAGUAAGAUAUAUUGCCAGUAAUCGUUUCUUUGGUUUGCGAGCAAGAUUAAAGUGUGGUCAUUGGUUUCUUUUUUUUCCUCCGAGACAAAAAUGGGGCUAAAGUUUGGUCGUUCUUUGUAUUAAGAUAGUGGAAUAAAAAAGGAUAAAUUUCCAGCUAUCCCAUCAAUUCAUUUCCUACAUAUCGCAAUUUUACCCCAUAAAAAACAUCUUUUUUUUUUUUUUUAAUGAAAAAAAGGGAAAGUUUCGUGGUGCUUUCUCAUGUAGUUGUUCAAAAAGGUUUGAUACAAAACAUUUUGUUUUGUUUUUUAAUAAAAAAGAAAAUAUAAAACCAACUAAGUGUCGUUCGUAUAAUUGAAUAUCAUGAACAAGUUAAAAUCCCAUGGCUAUAGUUCAUGUGGGAUUUAAAGUUCCUCUCAAUACACAAAUGAACAAUAAGACCUCGUAGAUAGAACUCACUUUUAAAAAUUGGUUUAUAAAAGAAUUGAGUUCGCGAGUUUUAUAUAUUCAUUUAAAUUGUCAUAUUUUUUAGUUCAUGUACGCCAUGCGGAACAUAAGAUCCUAACAUAUAUCUUAUCGUAUUGAAAAAAUAACAUCCACAUAUACCAUAUUCUACUAGUGAAUUUCGUCUGUUAGGAUGGAAAAUAUUUAUGUUAUAUAAGUCAAACAAACAAAAAAAUUGAUGCACUUUAUCUACUAAGUGAUUUUAUUUUAUUUAUGUUAUAUAAAUAAAAUAUUAAUUUUAUUUUGCCAAACACCUUACCGAAAUAGUUGUAAAGAUGAUUAUUUCGAAAUCUAUUUUAGAAUUUGAUUUUUUCAAAAGCUAAAGCAAUCCCCAACUACCUUAAAGAUUAAAGUAGUAUGAAGCUCUUAUCUUCUUUUGAAUGGGUGGAAUUUAAUAAUAAAAGUGUAGUAAUCGGGUUGAAGGGAAUUCCAAAAGUGGGUUGGUAAUAGAGGCUAAAGUAUGGAAAGCCACCCCCAACGUUUUUCCUGAGAAAUUUUAUUACCGUGUCCGGUUGUGAGUUUCGUGACAAUUUCUCAUUUGAUUUUUCUUUGACAUAAUUUGUGAUGGGUCACGUCGUCAUGCUGAGCGGAAAGUGAUUUUUUUAAUUAUGGAAAUAAUUGGUCCUCAGAAUUAUGUAGUCUGUAUUCAGGUUUAAGAACCAGGCCUUUCUGCAACGAACCAAUAAUCAGAUCCAAUAGCCCAUUUAGAAUCAUUUUUAUAUCUUAUAACUAAAAACAUAAAAGGGUAAUUUUUAGGGACCUCCCCUGAGGUUUGGCGUAUUGACAGUCUCAUAGAAAGUAUUCAUAUAAUUACAAGGAUCCCCCCCGACGUUAGUAUACAGUUAACUUGACUGUAAGUGGACUGACAAAAAGUCUAAAAUACCCUUGGCUACAAAAAUAUUAAAUGAGUGUAACAAUUUGGUUGUUGAUAUGAAUAUCUGCAAAUGGACUCUCUUCCCGAUGAGGGAUUCUUUUCUCCUCCACUUUCUUGCUCUGUCUUUGCCUCUUAUUCUUAUUCUUCUUCUUCUUCUUCGCCCCAAAACCUACUCGCUAAUGAAGAUGAUCUGUACCGUGCAGAUCUACAUCUUGUUAAUAAAAAAACAUUUUUCAGUGGUGUUGAUGCAGGAGAAACAAAAACUUUGGCAGCUUCCUCUCAUUCUUCUUCUUCGUCAUGUUCAGUUUCUCGAACAAAAGAUUCACUUUUGUUGCCAAAUUUUGAAUCUUUCUCCAAAGAAUAUUCUAUAAUUUUGAUUUUUCUUCGAAAGCUACCACGAAAGAGCAAUACCCAUUUGCACCAAACAGGUUUUAAAGACCUGGGCUUGAGUCUUUUCCCCUUAAAACGGCGACAAAAGCAGCCGCUUUUAUCAUUUUUACCCAUCCACUUACACCGCCGUUUAGUCGAGCCUCUGGUUCUUUUUCUGGGUUGUUGUUGUUUCGACGAUUGCUUGACCCGUACUUGGCCCAUGCAUGUGACUUUCGGCGACGUGGGUUCCUGCGUUUCAAUGGCGGCACUCUUCUUUCUUUGCACAAACAUUGGACUUGAACGUGACCUGCAUGAAUACUUUCUAUGAGACUGUCAAUACGCCAAACCUCAGGGGAGGUCCUUGAAAAUUACCCAAACAUAAAAAUGAUGAUUGUUAUAAUAUUUAAAAAAAAAAACCUUUUUCAUAGUUAAAAAUGUUUUCUUUCCAAUCCACUUUAACUACUUGACUUAAUUGUGCAUGUAUUGUAUUAUGGAAAUAAUACACAAAAGAUUUGUGAGAUGGGAUUGAAUGUGGCAUCUCAAAUUUUUUUUUUUUUUUUUACCUAUGUAUCAUUAUCGAAUUCUUCAUCAUAUCUCCAAACGAAUUUACUGAGUAAAAUUUUCUUAAAUUUGCAUGCGAUAUGGCAUCCAGUGCACCAAUUAUAAUUUUAUAGCUAGUUUUAUCCGCUUUUAGUGCAUGUAUUAAUGGAAAAACUCAUAAACAUAGAACACAAAAUCCUUGAAGCUCAUGCAAAACACGAGUUUAGAAGAGUGAGAUCUAAUAGACCAAACCUCACUUGUAUAUAGUGUGAGAAUACGAACCUUCUUAUGUAUAAAAGCUAAAAGAGUUGUUUCGUUAUAUACGUUUAACAUAAAAUGCAUUGAGGGCUAGUUUAGAAUUGCAGGUGUUGAUUAAAAUAAAUUGUUUUUACUGUGCAAAUUUAAUAAAUUGUUAAUUAAAAAAAAUAAUAAACUACUGAUUGAAAAAGCAACUUGAUAUUUAGUAAAUUGUGUUGUUGUGAUUACUAUGAAUUUGAAAAUCCGUGUAUAUGCGUUUAGUAAAUUUAAUAAACCAAACCUCACUUGUAUAUAGAGUGAGAAUACAGACCUUCUUAUGUAUAGACUAAAAGAGCUGUUUCGUUACAUAAAUUUAACAUAAAAUAUAUUAAGGCUAGGGGUGGGAUUGCAGGGGCUGCGUGAAAAGUGUUAAAAAAAUAAAAUAAUAUAAUAUAGCAAUUUAUUGACAUCAUUUAAAAAUAAUAUACUUUUAAAAAUGAAAAUAUGUUAGUUUAUUCAUCUUUUAAUAAAUUUAUUCAUAGUCUAUGAAAUAAUCUAGUCAAAUAAGAUUUAGAUAUACACCAAAAAAGAUAAACAAACAUAAAAAAAAAUCUCUUAAACUUCAAUUUGAUGUCUUUCUAAUAAAUAAGAAUUAUUUAUUAUUGACUUCUAAAAUUAAUUAUUUCUUGUCCCUUAGGUGUAGCUCGACUGACUGUGAAUGUACAUGUGCCCACUAGUUCAAGUUAGAAUAUAAGUAAAUGCUCGUGGUUAAUGGAUAGGGUUUAUCAUCCCACAAACAAUAAAAAGGAAAUAAAAUAUUAUUUGAGAAAUUAAAGAAACAAACUAAAUAAUGAGUUAAUUUUGUCAAGAAUUGUAAAAACAAUAAAUUUAAAAACAAACAGAAAAAUGUAUUUUUGAAUGGAAUAUUAAAUUAGGGAAGAGAAUUAUGAUUUUUACUGCCUAUGAGGAAAGAUAAAUUGUAUUAAAUAUAAUAAAUUUAUAGAAUUUUAGAGAUAUUAAUGACUAAACCAUUUACAAUAAAAGUAGGAUAUAAAAGACUAAAUAGAUUGAGAAUACUAAUUAAUUUAGGAAUGUCUUUCAACUUAUAUUAUAAUUUAAUAUGAAACGACCCGCCCCGAAUCCCCUCCUAGGCGAGUCUAUCUAGUCUUAUCAAAACGGACUUGAUAAAAAUUCUAUUAGUAAAGAUUCUGCCGAAAAUUCGACAGAGUCUCAUUUAUAUAUAUAACACUCCCAAUAUACAAAUAUGAAUAUAAAACUCUCAAUACAAUUUAAUAUACAACAAACUCCAGUGAUCAACAUCCUCAACUAAAAUGCUGAGUUUUAUAUCUCUAGAGUCUCAAAAGAUAAUAUUAUAACUAAUAUUAAUAUCUCAAUUUAUUCUUAAUCCCAAAAGAAUAAUAUAACAAAAUUAUACAAUCCCAACAGGACGAGAUAACCAAGAUGUCCUAACAAAAAUAUUUAUAUCUUCUGACACCAUCACGUGGCCAAGACUCAAAAUACAUUUACAGUCGCUGGGUCGUUCUGGUAUACCUGCAACCUCCUGGUGGGGGGAAAAUAUAAUAAAAACGAGGUGAGUUUAAAACUCAGUGAGAUCAGUGAGUGGAUAGUAGUUUUGAAAAUUAAUUCUUACUUUAAAAGAAAUAAUCAUAUCAUUUCCAAACACGAUUUCAUUAAACCAUAAACGAGAAACCAGUAAUAAAUCAUUAAACAUUUAAAUCAGAUUACUAACUAUGGAAAUCAUAUCACAAUAUCAUAUAGAAUUCACAAAUCUAAAAAUCAUCACCAAACAAGUACCCAGGGAAAUAAUCUCGUCAUAUCCAGAACUCAACGGACGGGCAAUGACGUACUAUUUGGGUAACGUCACGCCCCGGAGCUACACGGAUAGACAGGGAAAUAUCAUCUCAUAUCUCAUCAUAUAUGUGCAUGCAUAAUCUAGUCCCCAAGGGACAAAAGCGCCCAAGCACACGGCCCAAAGCCUCUGUGUGUACUCAGACGGGCCCCAAAUGUCUAUAUCUCAUCUGUAUCAUAUGUAUCUCAAUAUAUGUUUGUAUCUCAUAUAUGUAUCUCUGUAAUCAUCAUACCGCAUGCAUAUGCCCCCAAAAGGCAAAAGCGCCCAAACACACGGCCCAAAGCCUCUAUGUGAGUUUAGACGGGCCUCAAAGGCCUCUCAUCUCGUAUGUAUCACUGUAUCUGGAGGGAAGUGUAUUGUCUAAUGAUUUCAAAAACAAUCAUUAUACUCAUAUUCACAUACCUCUUAACCAUAUUUUAAAUCAUACCACAUUUGAAUCCACUUUUCUUAUUUUUAAAAUACUAUGAUGCUUAUUCAAAGUCGAUAUGCAAAAUCAUUAACCAAACAUUUUAAUAAUAUACCAAUGCGUGAAUAAAAUCCAGUUCGAGGAAAUCAUUAAAUCUGAACAUUUAAAAUACUUAUUUCGCAAACAUGCUUUACUAUCAUAAUUAACUAUGAAAAUAGGUUUUGUAUAUUCCACUCAUAAUGACGGUGUUCACGGUCGGUUAUCGUCCAUGUCCGCGGACCGAUUCUCGCUCGCGGAUCCUCCUAAAUCAAGGAAACGACAUAAUUAUUUUUCGUAAAUCAGAAUUAUGACUAAAUUUUAUGCAAUAAACUCGAAACGAAUAUCUAUCCAUAAUUGACAACUCCCGUGUCCAUAAAAUUACUAAAAUGCCCUUGAGUCCGUAGAUCAUUAACAUGCUCUGAAAUCGUAAAUCACAGAAUUACCAUCGGAAUCGUAAUUACACCCAAUCCUCAAUUCUAGGAAUUACUAAAAUAUCCACAGGCUCAGAAAUUACAAAAUUACCCUCAUAGUGUGAAAUUACCAAAAUGCUCUUGCCGGUCAACGGUCAACGGUCAUCGGAAUUUGGUCAACGCUGGCUAGGAAGCUCAAAUCUGAAAGUUCCAAUCACGCUGAGUUCAAUGGUACCGACGGUGAGCUCCAACGCGCGGCAACGACACUGGAAUCUAGCUCGGCAGCCGUGAAUUCCAACAAUCGACCGGAGGCAAAACAAUGACUCUCAGUGCCUAUGGAUGGUCGAAAAUGGAAGAGGGAGUCAUGAGGAACAAAAUCCAACCGGUGGUGUCACCCAAAACCGGCGAAAAUCCCGGCGAAGCAAAGUGAAACAGUCGCGGGUUUCAAGCUUCGAUCGCCGGCGUUCUGGUUGGUUUUCGGCAGCGAGGAUGACAAGGGAAUGACGGUCGGCUUCUAAGCUUCAGAUUGGUACCAAGCUCGGCCGAAACGGUGGCCGGAAAUGGGAGUUAUGGCCGGGUUAAGGUCGCGGGUUCCGGGUCGGGUUUUCGAGUAGGGUUGAUGGCUUCUCUCUCUCACUCUCUCACACACAUGUGGCUUCUGUUUUUGUUCUUUUUUUUCCAGCUUCUUCUUUUGUUUAUUAAUAAAAUCCUUAACCGCCAAAAUCCUUAACCACCUCAUUUUAUUUUUAAUUCACAUAUGUUACAUAAUACCUAAUAUUUGGAUAUUAUUAUUAUUUUUUAAUUUCUUAGAAGUGUCGCACCCUUGCUACUCAUCUCUAUGCUAAUCCGUCCAUGACUAGGGCCAUAACUUUCCAAAAUCAUACCAUUAAGGGUGCGUUUGAGAUUGAAAUUGGAUAGUUAUAACUUAAAAGUUACAACACUAAAGUGUUUGGUAAACAUUAGCUGCUGUAACUUAGAAAGUAUGUUGAUAUGAUUUUUCACUUGUAUAAUAGAAAAUCUAUAAUAUUUUUAAUAAUUUUAUCAAAAUUAUUUUUAAAAAUUUAUAUUUACUAUAUAUUACUAACUUUUAUGUCAUAGUUACAAUUUUUUUUUACUGCAGAUACAGCUUAAAAGGUAUAGCACAUCAAUCACAAACGCACCCUAAAUAUGGGUGUAUACGCUCAGGUGACACAUUAACAUAAUAAACUAGUAGUCAUUAUAUAUCAAAUAAACUUACAAACACUCCUCCUGUAUUUGUUUGUUUAGUCUAAUUUUUUAAAUAAAUCUUAUCUAAUUAGAGCUUUUGCUUUUAGACUAGUAGUGAUUAUAUAUCAAAUAAACUUAUAAAUACCCCUCCUAUAUUUGUUUCUUUAAUAUAAUUUUUUAAAUAGAGUUUAUCUAAUUAGAAAUUUUCUUAGAAGAGUUUUUGUAAAUAAAACUUAUUUGUUUAGUAUAUUUUUAUUUAUAAAAUUAAAUAAUAAGUUAUACCAAACAGAUAUUAUAUUUAACUUGGUCACUACAAUCCGAUUUAAUUACAAAAUAUUCUAAUGAUUAUUACUGUCCACCAAAUAUGAGAAACAAAAUUCUCUUCUUAUAAAAAUAUAUCUCAAUAUGUCUUAAUUGCAUCUUAAAUAUUUAAUACUCUCUUUGAAAAAUUUUGGCCUUUUCUGGCUACCUAUCUCGAUUCUUCAAAAAAAAAAAAAAACUAAAUUUCAUUUCUCAUAUUGACAAAAACAAAUGAUGGCUCUCCACGACAAGCAAACUCAAGUAAUUGACACCGAUGGGAAAAUAAAAAUAAAAAAUCAAUUGCCCACAUAAUUUUAGUUUAUUUUUUAUCCAAGUUUUUAAGGGCAGAAAUUAAACUUACUUGCCGCUCACACAAGCACUCAACUUCAGUUGAUUGAUGGAUUGAUAUUUUUCCCUCUUUUCCAUUCCCAUGCCUUUCAAUUCACUUGAUCGAAAAAAACCCCCCACAAAACCCAACCAAUAGAAAACUGCCACAUCACGAAAUCUCAAACGCUUCAGCGCUCUAUAUCGCUUCGGGCUCUCUCUCCGUAGUACCUAUCCUUCUUCUAACAAUGGAGCGAGCCGCGUUGCUUCGUUCUCUCUCUUGUACUUCCCUCGCUUCCAACAGAUUCUACUUUCGCUCUUUCGUACCUCGCGCCAAAUUUUCAUCAUCAUCAGUUGCUGUUGCGAGGAGAAAUCACCACCGUCUGAUCAACAACCUCACCAGGCGCUCCCUCCUCCGCGGCGACAGCAGAUUACACCUCUCCUUAUCGUCUUACUCUCUUCAAUUCAACAAACACUUCUCCUCUCUCUCUCCUCGCGCCGUCGCCUCUCCUUCCACUCCCUCAUCUCCAGGUGCAAAAUUUGUCGUUUCACUCUUUCUAAAUUUCAUCUCUUUUCCCGUUAAUUUAAUUAAUCUCCUACGUUUAAUUAAGCAGUAAUUUUAUUGGUUCAUUGAAUGAUUACCGGCAAAAAAAAAAUAAUACAAUUAUUUUCAAUUCUUGUAAAUUUGUGUUUGUUAAUCGUUAGAAAUGAUCUAUUAUUUGGAAAAAAAAAAUUGAAACUCCUCUUUUACGUUGUUGUUAUUG